RNAcentral lists this long non-coding RNA (80861 nucleotides) under Marmota monax (woodchuck). The stretch from base 78637 to 78706 matches the Rfam family "tRNA". Lineage: Eukaryota; Metazoa; Chordata; Mammalia; Rodentia; Sciuridae. The record is from RNAcentral.
GUCACUCCAGGAAGGGAGUUCCCGCCCCUCGAAUCAACCAGAGGGAGGGAAUCCCCGCCCAUCCUGGAGGCUCGGCGGAUCCCCAGCGCUGCGAGGAGCCGACUCCCAGAUCCAGUGCGUGCUGGCCCCGGGCUGGGGACGCGGCAGGACUGCUGCUGCAGGCACCCACCGCGCCGCAGGCCGAGCCGAAGGUGCCGGGGAUUGAGCCUCACGCGGCUUGCUGCAAACCGCGGCGCUGCAGCUCUGCACCCGCGCGGCGUCGGCGCUGGUGGUAGCAGCCGCGGAGGCUCUGCGCCGGGACCGCCGGGCGGCGCCUGGGUCUAAAAGCGAGAGGAGUAGCGGGAGCCUCAGCCGAGCCGCGAGCAGGUGAAGCGACCGUCCCGCUGCUGACGGGACUUAGGGCUCCGGUUGGGCGUGCGGGGUCGGGGGGGAGCCUGGCACCCCAGAAAGUUCAGUGACAAAUCGGGUAAGGAAAUCCCAGCCCCAGGUAGGCGGUGAGUCGGGGUCCCCAACCGGGGUCCCACGUUAGGUGGUCCAAACUCCUCUCCCCUCCAGUCGAGGGCAUGGGGGUCGCGGUGGAGAGGAGAGGGCUGGACAGAGAGGGAUUGCAACAUUAGGACCACCGGAGUCGUACUGCUGGGGACACUGAGGACAUGGCCAGGAGUCCUUUUCCCAUAGCAACCACAUGGAGCGGAGGGAUUGGGGUCUGUCUCCCGGACCAUCCUCCAGCGCUUCUUCCCCCUCUGACCAGAGAAGAGGCGAAGAGUGGAGGGGGCUCCUGAAGAGCAAGGGCAUGUGUGGAGCGGUUAUUGGCAUCUGCUAGGGAGACGGGAACAUUCCAAUAUGGAAAUCUUUCUCUCCUUCCUAAGCUCAGUUCAGACCCUAAAAUCUGGUGUGUGUCUGCCCCCAUCCCUCCUCUCGGAUUUGCAAAAUACCUUUUACGUCUUCGGCUGCUCCCUUUUUUUUUUUUUUUGGUAUAAUCCAUUAAAGCGCAGAUUUGAGUUGAGCAGGGGAAGGGUCCAGAAGCCUGCCCUCAUUAACCCUGAUCUGUGCAGGGUUAAUGAUAAGGGACACUGAGGUGAGAAGAACACAAGGUCUGGAGUGGACUGGUCGCAGAGACUGGAGACAGGCACCAGGGCAGAGUCCAGAUCUAUUUGGGACUGGAGAUUGGCCAGUGCUGGGAGAUAGAGCUGGGUCUAGUUCUAUCACUUGUAGCUGGCUGCAGCCUCUUCCUCCCCCCACAGGUGGGGUCUGUUGGGUUCAUGUGUUUACCUUGAUAAAUUGUGAUAAAGCUACUGGAGGUGGUUGAUGAGCAGCUGCAGAAAAUGACUCACCCUUGCAGACCUUGCCUCGGACCUUCAGGACUCCUUCCAGGGGAAGUCUCCCACACUCAGCCUGCUCUGGGCUUGGGCUUGGGUAUUUCUACUGGGCCAGCUUUUCUGGUCUGUGACUUCUGGGUGGGAGUCAAGUAGGUACAAGUUGGCAGGUGUGGUGUGGGAGGGCUGCUUGUGGGGGUGGAAUAGAAUGUCUCAGAACACACCCCUGGCUGUAGGUGGUUUUUCUGGCUUCAUCAAUUCCUUCUUCCAUUAGAAUGGGCCAAGAACUGCUGCUUCUUCCAUAAAAGCUGUAUAGUGGUGUGCCUUCAUGUGUUGUGGAGGCAGGGGUAGGGGGCCGGGGCAGGUGUUGGAAAGGAAGAAUGAGAGCCAUGCAAAGUAUGUAAAUGCAUCUCCCUUGACAUAGUUAAUAUGCUCCUGGAAAAAUAUUGAAUCAUACUUUAAAUCUAUCACUGAAAUUGAUUUUGCAUGCACUUACGGCAGUUUACUAUUUAAGGAAACUUAUGAUAAUUUCUCUAUUCAUUUCAAUCAUUUUAUUUUUGGAGUACCUGUGGUUUGCUGGGCUUAGAGUUUCCAGGGGAUGUGCAUAGAUGAAAGAGGCACCCUCCCUACUGUCAGAGUUUUAGUCUAAAAGAGAAGUCUAGAGAUAGCUGUGAUGCAAACCAGUGCAUUUUCGGCAUGUAGUAGAUGCCCUAUGUUUACUGGAUGAAGUAAUGAAGGGAUAAAUGAAUGAGUAAAGUAACUAAAGUGUGGUCCAAAUAAAACAUUUUGGCAGCUGGGCAAGGUGACACAUGCCUGUAAUCCCAGCUACUAGGAAGACAGGAGAAUCACAAGUUCAAGACCACCUUGGGCAACUUAGUGAGAUCUUGUUUCCAAAUAAAAAAUAAAAAGGGCUCAGGAUGUGGCUCAGUGGUAAAGCAUCCCAGUACCAGAAAAUGAAAAAACAACAUUUUGGGAAUAUGGAAGAGAAGUCACUUCUGACUGAAGGGAUCUAAAAGGCUUUGUGGGGAGGUCUAGGAGGAAGGGGUAUGUGCUGAAAAGUUGAUCCUGAAUUAGGACUAGGCCCUUAGGGAUACAGUGGAGGAAGAGGCUGAGAUAAGGACUUCAGGAACUUAGUUUUCUAGCCAUUGGGGAAUGUUUGGGAUUUUUGAGCAAGAAACUAUCAUGAUCAGAUAUGUGCCUUUGGGUGAUUAAUCUCUUGCAGAAAAAAAUUGGGGCUGGAGGAAGAUGAGAGGCAGGGAACCGAGAGAAGUUUCGGUAAUAAGAUGGUGGGGGGAAGCUGUGAAGGUCCGAGUUGGUGGGUGGCAGUGCUAAGAAGAAAAGAAGAUUUGUCAGACGUGAAGUGUGGGCACUGUAGGAUUUGGAGAGAAGAAACAAUGAUCCCCUGCAGGUUAUGAGAACAAGUACACAGGGGCUGAAAUCUGAAGUGUUAACAUUUGACAAACCAGAAGCCUGGAGAACUCUUUCCAGCCUUCUCUUUCUUCUACCUCUCCUUGUGAAACCUUUUGUGGCUCUCGGGUCCCAUGGGAUAAAUUCCAGAUCCUUUGUGACUCUUCAGACUUCUUACUUGCUGUGUCCCCCAACACACACACACACACACACACACACACACACGGGUGUAGAACUCCUGACCUGUCAUGGCUCCGCCUUUACAAAGCUGUUUUUCUUCAGUGGCAGUGAUAGGGUGGUCCCUGGAGUAUUCUUUCUUCACUGAUCCUCCUAAUAAACUUCUUCAAGUCCAGCUCAAGGGCGUCUCUGUGAUUUCAGCUGCUCUCUCCAGAAGGCGCUGAGUAGUCCUUUACAUGUACCCCUCAGCUCCUACAAAGCCCUAUAAGUGUUCAUCAGGUUGCCCUCAGCCUGCUUCUUUAGGACCUUAUCUUAUUCAUGCCCAGAUAAGGCCUGGAACAGGCCAACUUCCUCAGGCUAGACAGGGAGAGAAAUAGAGGGACAUCAAUUGUACUGUAGGUGCCUCUCAGCUGUGACUUGAAAGCUCCAGGCCUGGUGGACUGGCAAGACAAACUGAGCUGUGGAUACUCCCUUGCCCUAGGUUGCAUAGGCCUAAGUGACUCAGACCAUGACGGUCGGUGGCAUCCCUACUGGGAGGUGGUCCCGGGUCCCUACUACACCAAUCACAAAGGGAAAAAUUCCCAGGAAGAUGAAUUCACCAAAGGUCAGGACCAAACCCAGAGAGGCUGAAUCUCUUAGAGAACAUAGAUUUGGAGACUCAGCACUUUUAACUUUUUUUUCUGUUUUCAGAGUUAUCUCCACAGUGCCAACAUGAUGCUGAGGACAGUUGUUUCAAGGGUAGGAAGAGCUAGGCAGACAGGUAGACAGGCAGAAAAGUGUGAGAAGGACCACCACUCAGAAGGAGGAAAAAGACACAGAUAGAGACGGAGAACAGUGGCAGUGAAGGCUGACCGCGGGGCCAGGGUGCAAGGGAUGAAGGAGAAAAUGAUUGGCAAGACAUCAACACUGCAUGCAGAGUGUGCAGGUUGCAAAUAAUCCAGAGUAUUUUGAGGUGAUGCCACCAUUGAAGAAAGGCUUUUCAGGAGAGUUCCCAGAUUCCCCUCCCAGUCAUUUUUGGUAAGCAAAAGAGAAUGGGGAGAGAAUAGAGAAGCCAUGUAAGUGGUUUUGGGAGGGAAGAGGCCAGAGACAAUAAAGUGCAGGGAAAGAAGAAAGCUCGUUUAUGCUGUCCCUAGAAAGUGGGAGAGAAGCAGAGGGGGGUGAGGGAGCCUGCAAUGUGAGGGGUGGGUAGCUGGGGGGACAGGGAGUGGAGUCUUCUCAGUGAAACAGGAGGGCAUCUGCUGAGAGCUAGGAGGCAUUGGUGAGGCUGGGGGGCUUGGAGGAAGGAUCUGCAUUACUGCUGUUGGCCAGGGGAGGUGAACCUGGUGCCUGGCACCUUGUGGGCUGGCCAGGAGGGAAAGGAAGGGUGACUGAAUUGGAAUCAGAGACUUAACUAGAAUCCCGGUAGUGCAGAGAACUUCUUGCCAGCCAGGGCACUGGAAUUUCGAAGCCUCUGCUGGCUCAUGUGUAAAGAUGGUGCAAUGGCUGCUUCUCAGAGUUGUUCUUAGGCAGUAUGCAGAGAGAUACUGAGGUGUGUAUGCAGGCCCCUCAAUGACAGCAUCUGGGUCUUUUGGAACAGUGCAUCAAGAGAGGAAUAAACCUCUCACCAAAGUCGGCGAGAGCCCAGCUGAAUAUAGAAGUCAGGGCUUUUGAGAGGUUUUGAACCAAAAGCUUUGGACUGUUCUGAGCAGCCUGGCCUCCUUGUUCCCACCUUAAGGAAUUUUUAGGAUCUCUCUCUCUCUCUCUCUCUCUCUCUCUCUCUCUCUCUCUCUCUUCAAAUCUGUUGGCUUAUAGCAGUGGCUACACCUGUAUUUCACUUCCCUCUUAUGUAAAGAUGUUACGGGGCUGAAAGGGACAGCCUGGGUGACAUCCAUGUCCUCUGUGGUUUGGAAGGAGGAAAAGCACUCAAACUUGCCUUUGAGGAAGCUAAGGCCCAGAAAAGCAGAGAACUUGCCACAUUCAACAACUGGAACUAGAACUGCAGACUGCACUUGCUUAUCUGAGGGACUGGUGUCUCAAUUGUGCAGGGUGGGUGAGGGCAGAUUAAACACCUGCAUCUCCUGGGCUUUAUCAAUGGGUCUUUGAUUACACAUAGAAAGAUUAAAUAAAUAUUCUCACUUGUUAGUGAAGGUGGGGGGAAAGGAGCUCUUAAAUUUAUUUAGUAACACACUCAAUACAUGUGUUCAAAAUUAAAUGAAAUUUCGGAGAAACGUUAAGAAUUUUUUUUUUUUAAGAAAAUUGAGGUAUAGAAAACAAUUCUCAAAUUAUUUUUUAUUUUUCCACCCAGAUAAUUUUUGUCUAGAUUAUGUUGUCCUUUGGGACUCUGCAUAUGUUGUAUAUAAAGUGAUAGAUCCUUUUAUGGCAUUUCAAACUUUGAAAGUCUUGAUCUCAUAAUAUUCAUCUUCCAGAAAUAGAAAAAAAAAGAAUGGAAUUGGGAAGGUAAAUGUUUCUUAUGGGUUCUGAGCAGGGGGAUUUGAAGCCAGAUAGGGUAUUUGAUUCAGUCUGUCUGUGAGCUCAAGAGUUCUGCAUUCUGUUGACAAAUAUGUUCAAGAAAACACUGGAUCAUUUAUGGAUUGAAAACUCAGUGGGUGAAGAGGCCCUCUGUGAUGUGAUGGGCAGCUGAGCCAAGAGAUGUUUUGUUAAAGCACCAAAUAUGUGGAGAAGACAUCUUCAUCUGUGGAGUCUCUUCACCUCUGGGAAGAGGCCUCCCCUGGCCUGGCUUCUCAGAUGUCAAUAGCACCUUCUCUACCUUACACCCAGUCCCCAUCCUUAGAGGACCUACUAUACUAUGCUUGCCUUGCCCACAUGAAUACACUGUGAGUGAAAUGGCUAGGCUAUCAAUUUGUAGAAAAUCAGAAACUUAAGAUUCUUAACUCUCUUUAUGAUACAGUCUAGUGAAACUAGAUAGUAAUGAACAUCUCGCUGAUGAAGUCUUCUUGGAUUAUUUGUUUUUAGGUUAUUGAGUGUUUCGUUGCCUCUUCAAGCCCUCUAGGACACACAAAGAUGUUUUGAAGAAGCAGGCUUAGGGGAACUGACUUUGCAGCAAAGUAAACUUAUUUUGAACACAAAAUUGUUGCAAACUUUGAAUGAAAUAAUAGCAAGAAGGUAGAGGAAAUUCUGUUGUGAGAAGCAGCCUGAAAUGCCUAGAUAUUCAUAGGAGGAUAAAAGAAAUCACGGACUCUUAGGAAUCUGUGAAUCCUUGAAAGAGCAUAAUCCAAUUCUUUGCCUUCAGGUUGCAGUAAAUGUAGCUCUUUCCAGAUAGGAUCUGUGCUGUUUUAACAGCUUCCUGAGGAGAGGCUUCCACGGUAUAUUUGCACUUAACAGAAUGCUGCCCCAGACAGAGUCCUUUGAGGUAUUCUGGCAGGAGUGGAAAUGAGUUUGGGCUGAACCACUCCUGCUCUCAUUUUUAUCAAUACUUGGACACCUCUAGUACUUGGCUUUGCAAGCACUAGACUUGUACUCUGCUACCUCAACCCACUCGUUCAAGAUAAAACACACACACCCUGUUGUCCUGAAGUCUGAGGACUGAUCAUCCUGCUUUGCUAAAAAUAAAGAUGGCAUUCAUACAAUGCAGGAUAGGAUUCCUGUCUGAGCAGGGACACACUUGGUGCUGUGGAAAUCCAAAGUCAGUUCCCUGGCUGGGACCUGCCCCCUGAGGCAGUAGGAUUUGAGCUGGGAACAGGGUAGGAGAAAGAGCAAUUGGGGAUCACGGCAUACACACGGUAGGGGAGAGAGGAAGGGAACUGGGUUGCAGUGGGGAGGGUUCUGGCCAUCCAGAGGAAGCUGGUGGGAGGCCAGAGAGGACCAGGGAGCUUUACACUCCUGGAGUCCUUUCUGACCAAGGAGAUUUGGAGAUUCCUAAAGGGGAAGAUAGAAUAAACAGCAACUCUUGUCCCUUUCACAGAAGGCCAGCCUGGCCCUCCUGUUUAAACAUUAUGAGAUGUUAUUGCAAUUCUGAUACUCUAUAAGACUGUUCUGAAGAGCAGAGAGACAAGUGUGUCAGCUAUGAUAUCUUGGGGUGACACACACAAGCUUGAACACUCAGUAAUGCAACUCACCUGGGAAGAGUUCCAGUGACUUAGCCACCAGAAGUGUCUUCAACAACUCGAUCCCUCUGUGCAGUGAACAUUAAGUGGUUCUUGAGACUACUGAGGUUUGCAUGCAGGUGAUCAAAAACAAUCCUGAACUCUCUUCCAGUAUUCCAACAUUCCAUUUUCUGCACCUAAGAAGACGAGAAGAGAGCCAACUUGAAUAAAACAAGACGUCAAUAAACUCUGCAUUUUUUGUGAGUUGGCCAAUGACACAUAAAAUGUCUGAUUUCAGCUGUUUCAAAACAGACGCCUCCCCCUCUUUUUUGGCACAGUUUAUUUUAUAGAGAUUUGGGUAAAACUAGAUUGUGCUAUAAUGGGUCUCCUGGUGAAGAAAAUUAACUUCCAAGGAUAAAGCAGCCAUGCAAAUAUUAUUACAAAAUCACUCAGCAUACAAAAUUGGCAUAGCUUUCCUCCACAGUUUGCUACUGCCCACUCUUCACUCCUACCCCACCCUGGUCACUGUUAUUCCCAAUAUCAUUAGGCUAAAAGAAGAGACAGCUGUCCCUAAAAAAUGUGCACCGCGUGUCCCCAUCUGCAUAGCUUCUCAUGAGAGAGCAAGCAGUGAGGUGGUGAGAUGAGAGGAAGAUACUGGAAAGGUUUGUGUUAACCCCUCCCUGCACCUCGUCCUCAUCUCUGAAAACCUGAGCAGAUGUGAGGAUGAUUGAUUUAUUUGCUGGUGAAUGCUGUGAAGCAUUGGUCAGCAAUUUGGGGCAAAGGGAAAUGCAUAUGACACCUGAGCACUCUUCCUAUAUUCUAGUUCCUCACCUGCUUGUUUUCAGAGGGCCAUCUUUAUCUGGAGCAUCUCUGAAGAUGAGCUGUCUUUCCCCUCUGUUCUUCAGGAUCCAGUACAAUGUCCAGUCAUGGGUAGAACUGAAAAUGGUUUCAGUGUUCACCGUUCGGCAGCCACUGUUCUAGACACCUUAUGUGAAUCGACUCAUCCAGUUCUCAUAACAACCCAAUGAGGUAGAGACUAUUAUUCCUCCUAGGGCUGCCAUAACAAAGCAGCCCAAAUUUGGUGGCUUAGAACAAGAGAAAGUUAUUCCCUCUCAGUUGUGGAGGUCAGAAGACUGAAAUCAAGGUGUUAGCCGGGCCGGGCUGCCUCACAAGGCUCUAGGGGAGAAUCCUUCCUGGUGUCUUCCAGCUUCUGGUAGCUGUUGACAUUCCUGUGACUCUCACUCCCGUCUCUGCCUCUGCCUUCACAUUGCCUUCUCUGGGUGUCCGUGCACUCUCCUGUCAUGUCUGCAUGGCUCUACUUUGUCUGUUCUAAGGACAUUGGAUUUGGGGAUUGCCAGAUAAUCCAAGAUGAUCCCAUCUCAAACUCCUUUAUUUAAUUACAUCCUCAAAGACCCUUAUACAUAUCUUUGUGGGAGCCAUUAUUUAAUCCACUACAUACCUGUUUGCAGAUGGAGAAACGGUGGGGCAGAGGGCUUAAGCAGAUUCUCUUAGGUUGUACAGGUCUGAGUUGGAGGGACUGGAUUUAAAUACAGCAGCCUGCCUCUAGAGCUUAAAUUCUGCAUUCUUCUUGGAGGGGGUUGCGGGGGCUUCUGGGAUUGAACCCAGGGGUGCUUAACUACAGAGCCAUAUCCCCAGCUCUUUUUUAAAUUUUAUUUUAAAAAUUUGAAACAGGAUCUUGCUAUAUUGUUGAGGCUGGCCUCAAACUUAUGAUCCUCCUGCGUCAGUGAACCAAGUUGCUGCUCAGUGAUUGUUUAUGAUAUGAAAGGAUGGCAGGAUGAGAGUAGAUAGAUGAUUUUAAAAAAUGCUGAUGGCUAUAGCUAGUUAACAUUCUUCCUCCCAAUGUAUUGAAAAUAACUAAUAUCCAUUGUUUUAUGAUGUUGUCCAGGGAGAUUCCAACUAUCUCAAGAGUUUUGCCUUCCAAAUUUAUGUUUCUAUCCUUGUCUUCUCCACUGAAUCCCAGACUCAUGUGCACUACCUGCCCCUUUAAUAUUCCCAUAUGGGUAUGUCACAUGCAUCUCAAAGCAAACAUGACCAAAAUGAUGUUUCUCCUUCAAGCUAGUUCUUUUCCUACUAUCUCCGUAAAUGGCACCCACCCCCAGACUCACCCCCCUCAAUCCAGAAACCAUUCUUUAUUAUUCUUUUUUCCCCACACCCUACAUUCAGAUCUGUAAGUGGCAGUCCUUUCCUCUAAUAUCCACCUUCUUCUCCCCAUCCACGGCAGCCACAUGGUUAAGGUCACUGUCAUUCUGUCCCUGGAUCCCUGCUGCAGGUGCUUCCUAACCAGGACUCCUGAGGACACUUUUGAUGUCCCAACGGGACCUUUCUCCUCAAAGCAGUCAGAGGGUUUUGUUGUUUUGUUUUUUUUUUCUCCAAAGACUUUAGUGUAGUUUUAGGUUCACUGCUAAAUUGAGAGUAACUGUGUUAGUCAAGUUUUUAUCCCUCUGACUAAAAUACCUGACAAGAACAACUUAAAAGAGGAAAGAUUUAUUUUGACUUUUGGUUUCAGAGGUCUCAAUCCAUGGUCAGCCAGUUUUAUUGCAGAAACAUGAUGGCAGAAGGGCAUCGUGGAGGAAAGCUACUCAGCUCAUGGCACCUAGGGAGCCAAGAGAAAUAGGAGCCAGGAACAAAAUAUAGUCUCCAAAGGCAUACCCCCGGUGACCUACCUUCUCCAGCCACGCCCACCUGAUAGUCCAUUCAAAUUAUUAAUCCAUCAAAUGGUUAGUCCCCUGAUGAAGUUAUAGCCUUCACUAUUCAAUCAUUGCCUUACAUUACCUCCGAACCUUGUUGCAUUGGGGACCAUACAACACAUGAGUUUGGGGGGUCAAUCCAUAUCCAAACCAUAAGAGUAACAUUCAGAGAUUUCCCAUAUACCAUUUACCCCCACACAUGCACGGCCUCCCCCAUUAUCAACAUCCUCCACCAGGGUGAUACAUUAUCACACCUGAUGAGUCUACACAGACAAUGAUGUUAUCAUCAAAGUCUAUAGUUUACAUUAGGGUUCAUCCUGCUAUGGCACAUUCUGUUUGGACAAACGAAUAAAGACAUGAAUCCACCAUUACAGUAUCAGAUAAGGUGGUUUCACUGCCAUAAAAAUUCCCUGUGUUCUACCUAGUCAUCUCUUACUCACCUCUGUCUCAGAGGGGGUUUAUAAAAAUCUCUGUUCAAAUCAUGUCACUCCCGAGCUUAAAACUGGGCCAUUCUCAUUGUCAUUUGGCCCACCUCUCUUACCACUUAGUCUCUUCCCUCUGUGCCCUGACACAUCAUCACUCCAUUCUGCAACAAAAGUUCUAUCUCACAAGUGCCCUUCUCUGGGAUCCUCCAAGGCAUCUUGUCUACAAACCUAUAACCUAAAUUAUAGGUUUGGUAGCACCUCCUGGGGUGCUAUCACUGACUGAUUCCUUACUGAAAUAAAGUCUUUGAUUUAUUAAUUUAUUUUCUAUCUCACAUGUUAGAAUGUAAGCUUAAUUAAAGCAAAGACCUUGUGUUGCUCUUGUAUCUCAAGUGCCUACAACAGUACCUGGUAUAAAGCAGACAUUAAAUAGAUAGUGUUUGAACAAAUCGAGCACUUUAUUUUGGGCCCUGUUCCCAAUUACCCUUAUUUUUUGGAUGAAAAAUUGUACUUUCAGAAAGGUUAACCAACUUCCCUGAAGUACUUAUCUAUUCAGAGCAAGAAUCUGAAUCCAGAUCUGUUUGGCCAGUCUCUAUUCUCAACAAGUGUCCCAUACAUAAUCUCUAAGAAGCAAUAACUGCCCAGGAACCCUGAAGUCUCUACAGAGUUCUGAGCUUUCUAACUCCUUUUCCUACUUAUAAAUCCAGGACACAGGUAACACAGAGAGAAGAAAUAUACUUCCUGGACUGUCCAGUGUAUUAUUUCUCUGAAAAGUUGACCUAGGACUUAAGCUUUGAGAAGUUAAGAGUUAAUUUUGCUUUUUCUCUACUUUGGGACUUUUUACGAUUCAUCUUGAGAUUUGAUGAAUUAAACCCUCUUCCUUGAAUGCUUAAAGGAAAGGCAGAGAUGGCCUCUUCCUCCUCCUGACUUUUGGUACACAUGAGCACGUUUUUGUGGGUUGGUCUUUUCUGACUCCAUAUCUCUUCUCAGUUGAUUGAGCCCUAGAGCAAGAACAUGGACUUCACUGUCACUAGAUUGGUUGGUAGCAAGACCCUCUCCAUUGGGACUUGCUCAAAGACUGGACCAUUUUUCUGGCACCAACUUUGGGUCAGUUAUGGAAGAGGCCAAAGACAGGUUCUUUCCAGGUAUGGAGCUUCGAGGCUGUAGAUUGGAAGAAUGAAAAAGCAUCUUCUUCUUGUUGAACCAUUUUUUUAAGGGUUCUCUUGUUGCCCACAGUGGCCUCAGACUCUGGAUUCAAGCAAUUUUCCUGCUUCAGCACCCUGAGUAGCUGAAAUUGCAGGUGCACAUCACCAUGCCUGACUUAGACCCCCUUUUAAAAAUCAGGUCCAUCUUGGGAAUUCCAUUAGCAUCCUGGUAAGUAAACAUUAGAUAUGAACCUACUCUUUCAGGCAAAUAGAAAUUGAGAGGUUGUCUAAGAUCUUCAAGUGUUGGUUGGGUUUUUAUUCAUAGGAAGGGCUAUGGCAAUUGAUUAUUGCAUCUGGCAAAUAUAGCUGCUUUCUUGCAGGAAGGCAGACUCUGGCCAUUGGAUAUGUCAUGCGCUCCACCUCUGCUGUCAUGAGUGGGGUUUGCUAUGGUAACCAGAGCUUUGCCUGAGGGUUGUGCAUGUAAAGUGUCAUUCAUUGGUAGUACCUUUUAUUUUUAGCAUAAACCAAAGAGGAGCUGCUCAUUGUUCCUGCUAACAGGCAGGUGGGUAGUCAUAAUGGAGGCUGGGAUGAAUUGAUAUGCUGUUCUCCUGUGAAUAUCAGCACCCACCACAGUCCUCAUUUGUUGGAUCGUGAUGUACUUCUGGAAUUCUAUUGGUUAAAAUCCUUGCUGGAACCCCCACAGUAGGAUAGUUGGACUUACUAUAUUUUAACAACUCUUUGUCAACUGCUGUUCCCAUCUCCAUCCUGACACAGCAUGUAGGUUUUGCUAAUAAUGGUGAUCUUGCAGAUAGGAGGAGGGUAGCUUCCUGUAAAGCCAUUGAAAGCUGAGAAAGCUCAGCAAACAUUUGAAGGAGGUAGUAUUUUCCCUCUCAACAUGAUGCUCAGUUCUCUCCUAGAGCUUUUACUUUGUCCUCAGUGCUCUCAAAAAACAUUUUUUUUUCUUUUUCGUUCAACUAAUAUUUAUGUGUUACAUGCCUUGUAAAGAAAGUAUACAUACACUUCUUAUUCUGUGCAUGGGGAAUAAAAAUAAAAUUUUGACUUUCUUGAAGUAUUAUUCAUAUCAAAUUGUCUGUUGUCUGGGCCAGGAGUAGGGAAAAUGGUGAAAUAUUGUUUCAAGAAAAAGUGAGUCACCUGAACCUCAGUUUUGUUGAGGGCUUGGAGCUGGCUGAGAACCCCCUCAGCAUAUUUGCUGAUACAGUUUUAGGGUUGAGUGGAUCUGGGGCCAUUGUGCUCCAUUACCUGUUCACCCAAGAAUGCAAACUAUCAUCUGAAGCAACACUGGAGUCACAUCUCGAGGUGAUAUCAGCUAAGGUCAGAAACCGUAGACUAGAAGGUUCUUUCAUGGAUAGACUAUAUCCUAUGGGAUGGAUGCUGUGAGUCAAAUGCCCAGUGCAGUACUGGACCACAGUAGCCCCAUCAUGAAGUUUUUUUUUUUUUAAAUGAAUGAAAUCAGGUUCAACUGGCAUGUCUAGGUGGGAGAGAAGAACCUGGGCUAUACUUCAGGUCAUACUUACAGCCAAUACCUGAGGAUCCCCAAAGGCUGAUGAAGUCCAACCCUUCACAGCAUAUAGUCUUGAGAGAGAUAGGAAAUGCAGAGCUAAUUAGGAUUUGGGAUCUAUGGGAAGGUGAAUCUUCUGAUAAAUUCAUAUGGAGGGUAGUCCUUCCAUCAAAAAUGUUUUUCCAAACAGAUUCCCAUUUUACACACUAAUCAUUUUACUUAUUUAUUUUGGUACUGGAGAUUCAAUCCAGGGGUGCUCUACUCUAUCCUUGAGCUACAUCCCCAGCCCUUUUUAUAUUUUAUUUUGUAACAGGGUCUUGCUAAGUUGCUUGGGCCUCACUAAGUUGCAGAGGCUGGCUUUGAACUUGAAAUCCUCCUGCCUCAGCUUCCCAAGUCUCUAGGGUUAUAGAUAUGUGCACUGCUCCCAGCUACACACUAAUCAUUUAGAUGUUGUCAUGAGCUACCAAUUGAACAUUCUUGCUCAGCCCUGUGCAUUCAUUCUGUAAAUCGAAUAUUUGAGACCUACCAUGUGUUAGACGCCUAUAUUCUAGUAAGGAAGGCAAACAUUCAAUAUGUUUUAAGCUGAGUCCAAAAGAACAUGACACCCUAGAGAUGUUCUCCAGCCCACUACACUUUGCAAACUAUUCUUACAGAGGUCACUAAUGAGGUCCACAUUUGCUAAAUCCAGGAUUAUUUCAGAGCCUCUUAUUAGAUCCCUCAAAGCCUUUGGUAUUCACAGUCCAUCCCUCUUUUCUCCUUGAACGCUCCUUCCUGGCUCUUGAGCAAUGGGCUCCCCAGGUGUUCCUCCUUGUGUAACAGCCAGCAUUUCUUCUAGUUUGUUUGGCUGCCAGCUCUUCUCUCUGACCCCUGCAGGGCCCAAGACUCAAUGCUUGGACUUCUUAUCUGUCUUUCUGUGACUGCUGUCUGUGAUGUCAGUCGUCCUGGCUUUAAAUACCAUCUGUAAGCCAAGAACUCUCACCAGUCUCCCUCUAUCUUGUACUGCUUGGACACAUAAGGACAUACUCCACAACUCUGCUGAAUGGCUAAGGGUCAUCCCAAACUUCAGCAUCCAAAACCAGGUUCCUGAUUCCCACCCUGACCUUUCUGGAUGCUUGUCUCUGGUUAGUCCUUGAAAAUAUAUCUAGAAUCCAGACUGUAAAACCUCAGUGGUAAAAUGCUUUGCCUAGCAUGCAUGAGGCCAUGGGUUCCAUCCCCAGCACCAAUGUAAUAAUAAUAUUACUAUAUAUCCCUAUAAUCCAGUCGUUAUUAAUCACUUCUCAUCUCUCAGACCCUUUCAGGACUCUCCUAAUUGCUGCUGUUCCCUUUCCCCUCAUGGUUUAUUCUCAACAGGGCAGCCAGAACGAGUCUAGUAAAAUGUAAAGCAUUUCAUGACACUUCUCUGCUCAGACCUUCCCAAUACAUCCCGUCUCACUUAGAGUAAAAGCCAAACUCAUCACCUAGCCCACCAGGCGCUUACUGAGCUCUGUCUUUCCUGUGCCCUUCCCUAUCUGCCUCCACCUCUGCCACUGUCCCACAGCUCCAGCUUUACCAGCUUGCUUCUGCCUCAGGGCCAUCACCCCUGCUGUUCCCUCUGCCUGGAAUGAUCUUCCUUCAGGUCUUGUCGCCUGGUUCUCCCUCACUUCCUUCAGAUCUUGAUUCAAAGGCUCCCCUUGGUGAAGUCUUUUGUGCCACCUUCCUCUGGUCUAAGAUUUCAUAGCUCCCUUCUCAGCUUUAUUUUCUCCUUAGCACAUUGUCAGUCUUUUGAUAUAUAUUUUACUGACUUAAUUUGCUGUUCCGCUUGCUUCAGAUUGAAUGUAAAACUGACGGUGGUAUUUUUGAGGGUUUCUAUUUGGUUCACUGUUCCAUCACCGAUAUUUAGAGUAAUGCCUGGCUUAUUGUAGACAUUCAGGAAAUAUUUGUUGAGAGACUGAAUUAGAAUCAUGGGUAUCUUUAACUUAAAUCCGAUGCCCCAGGGAGUGUGAUCUAAUUGGCACGAGGCACAGCCCAAGCACUGGUAUUUUUUGACACCUUCCCAGGUUAUUCUAAUGUGAAGCCAGAAUUGCAAACCACUGAUUUGUCAUCUGAACUCUCUGUUAUUGUUCUCCUUCUUGGAAGUUUACCUCCCGUGGCAUAUGUUGUUGCUUUUCCUAGAAAAUCCAUUAGUUUUAAAUUUUAAAUUGCAGUGGAUGGUUUUAAUGGAAUUUGUGCUGUGUGUGAUAGCGUAUUAGGGUUUUAAUUGGAGCAUCUUGUUAGAGUGAAUACAAUGGACAUUCAUCUCUCUAAGACCUUGGCUGAACUUGGAUGGGGAGGACAAGUGUGUUCUUUGUUAAUUCCCCAGUUGAGCGUCAGACUUUUGUUUUUUUAUUUGAAAAGUGAGAGGAGAUUUGAAUCUGGCUAAUUGUAAACUUCAUUUGCCUAAAUGGGCUAUUCACAUCUAUUCUAUCUCCCCCAAAUGUCCACCUGCCCGCUGUCUAAAUUCUACCCCUCCCUCGGGGCCCAGGUAAAGUCUCAUUCCCUUUGAAAAGUGUACCCUGCUCUCCUAACCCACAGCCUCUCCCAGAACCCGGGCACAUUCACUUGGCAUCAAGCCCCAGUGGCUUUGUUUGGCAAACUCUGUGCCUAAAGUAUCUUUUUUGUACCCUUCUCAGACUAGACUAUAACCUCUCUGAGGGCACGGGGCCAUCUUUUUUACCUCUUUAUGUUCCCAGCAGCAAGGAAUAAACAGAUGUUGAUGGAUUAGUUAAACCAUUCUUGUUUAAUGCAUUGGCAGCAUCCACUAAGGACUUUGCCUGGGGAAGAGGACGCCUUGCUCGUCAUAAUUAGGGAUUGAACACCUUGGUGUUUUUCCACCCUGGUUUGAUCUGUGUUUCUUUCUCUCUCUCCCUCCCUCCCUCCCUCCCCACCCCCCCCUCUCUCUCUCUCUCUCUCUCUAUAUAUAUAUAUAUAUAUAUAUAUAUACACACACACACACAUAUUUAAAAAAAAGCAACUGAAACAGCUUGCAAGACUUAAGACCCCUAGUUUUCAAUACCCUACUUGAAAAUGAUGUAGUCAAGAAAGCUCAGCUAAAAUCACAUUUGGCUUUAUUCUGAAAAUCAGAUUUAAAGAAUUUUAAAUGAAACUGCAUUUUAGGACUGCAGAGAGGAAGCUCCAAGACAGGGUAAUGGGGCACUUUUUAGGUCUCUUUCUAUUUGAAGUAGGGACUUUUCUAUUAUGUUGUCAUUAUCAAGUUAACAUUCUUUCAUUUCAAUAGCCUGGGGGAGAUCAGGUAACCUGAUACAUUGGUUUGAAAACUAGGUUCUUAACACCUUUGUGGCCUUUUGAAGGUCUUGGCUUAGAGAAAAGUGAUGUCAUGGUGAGACAGGAAAUGUUAUAAAGCUGUAAAAUGUCAUAAACUGAUUUCCAUCUGGUCGUAGGUGUAUGAGAUAUAGCAAAGAAAAAAGUGCAGGGUAAGGUUACUAGACCUGUGUAUCAUAGGAAAGCUGUUGACCUUGCAUGUCCACACUUCUCAGCAAGUUGUUUGGAUGGUCCUUUGUUUUUUGUUUUGUUUUGUUUUUUUGGUACUAGGGAUUAAAUUCAGAGGCACUUGACCACUAACCACAUCCCCAGCCCUCUUUUGUAUUUUAUUUAGAGACAGGGUCUCACUGAGUUGCUUAGUGCCUCGCUUUUUGCUGAGGCUGGCUUUGUACUUGUGAUUCUCCUGCCUCAGCCUCCUGCUGACAUCCCUGUAGAUAAGAUGGAGAAAUAUGGACCAGGCAGCAGCGCAGCAGCACAUGGAUUGACAGCCAUGCAAAGGGGCUGAUGGAUUGGGGGCCAUGAGGGCAGAGUGAGAGUCAGAGUGCAAAGAGUGAGAGUCAGGCACAGUUCUGCCAUUGGCAUUAUCCUGCUCCUUUUCAACAUUUUUACCAACAAUCUGAAUAAAGGCAUGGGUGACAUGUUUAUCCCAUUUGCUCAUGACCCAGAUCUGGGAAGCAUAGUGACCUCAUUUCACAGCAGAAGCAGAUUCUAAAUAGACCUACAGGGGAGGCCAAGUCUUGCAGAAGUCAGCCAACGGGCUCAAGUGAAGAUCCUGUGCUUAAGUCUGAAAAAGCUAACUUCACUUAUUACGGGAUGAUCAGAAGCCUGUUUUAACAGCAGCCUUUGUGGAAAGGAUUUAGGCAGUUCCUUGGUCCACGUGCACCAACACUGUGGUAUGACUCUUAAUAAAUUACUCCCAGGUGUGAGGGGCCCCAAAACAGAGUGCUGAGCUCUGCACUAGGUCCCACAUGUCGACACUGUUGUGUGCCACUCUGGGCAAACAUGUAGUAUAAAGUGACAUCUCCAGAGGCAAAGACCCAAGAUGGAGAGUCAUUUGCAGGAAAGAUGGUGGCUGCCUCCAAGUUCUUCCUUUCCAGCUGGUACCCAUAAGGGGCAUCACUUUAUCUGCUCUUUGCUAAUGAGCUCCCCAUCUCCUUUCCUUUAGCUGCCCCACCUUCCCAAGUCUCUGCAUCAAAUAAGUUCAACCACCUACAUUUUCAGCCACUGUGUCCUGGCUGCUUAAUGUUUUUAUGAAAGGAAAACCACUCACCACUCAGCUCUUUGGAUUGGUGUAACUGCAGCGUGAUGGUCUCUAAAUUCAUCAGAAUUCAGAGUCUCCCUUAUAGGACUGCAAUCAUACAAAGGGAAGAAAAUCCCCCAGUGUCUAUCCUAACUCCUUUGUCCUAAAUCCGUAACAAUCACGUUACUUAAAAAAUUGGUCUCUCCUGGCUGCUUUCACUUUUUAAAUCUCUCAUUAACUUCUCAAUGGACUGUGCAGUCAGAUUUCCACUCCCAUCCUCUAGAGAAAUUACCUGGGGGUCCACCUGUGGGCCCCUACCGCUAAUCCACUGGGAGCUUUUCAACACUAACUUCAGUUGACGUGUGACAGUCCCCCUCUCAUGAGACCCUACUCUCCUGGCUUCUCUGACACCAUCUCCCUCCUAAAGCUCCUCCCACCUCUUUAGUGUACACAGUCUCAUCUCUGAGCUCCUCUCCAUAGAGCCUGUCAAGUAAUUUUUUAGCAACAAACUUUAUAACCCCUCUAUUUUUUAAAUUAGGUUCUAUUUUUGCCUCAUAACAAUUUAUGUUCUCAUCUCCCCUGGGCAAUUGGAGCCAAAUCUGCAACUUCAGCCACCCCCUAUGUACUGAUCAUUCCAAAUCUGUAACUUUAGUCCUAACCUCCUCCUGAGCUCUGGACUCACAUAUCUACCUAAAAAUCUCCAUCUGGGCAACUCAGCUCUUCCAAAGCAACAUAUCCCAACUGAGCUUCUCACCUUCACCUCACACACCUUGCCCUCUUCCUCUUUCCCUAGGUUGGCCAAUGGCAUCCCCACUGUACCAGCUGUCCCCCAAUGAGAAAUCUGUAGUCAUCCCUGCCUCUCUAUGGUUGCCUCUACUUGCACCUGAGAGAUUUGCAACUACAAUUCAUUGCAUGACCAAAUCAAAAAAUAUUUCAAUGAUUUUCUUGAGGCUGCCAAGACUUAUUUUUGAUCCAAAAGCCUGAACAAGGGCCAAAGUGCCAAAGUUAAGGGCAAGAGAAGCAGUCUCAUGUUAGGAACUAUCCUUUUAUCCCUCUCUCAAGAUUACAUAGAUUGCAGUGAGAGCUUGUGAGCUUUCUUUUACUGCAGACAUCAAACAGGGGAUAGAGGACUGAUGUUGCAAGAUUAGGCUGGGAGACUUCUAAUGCCUCUACCAACUUGAGAUUUAAUUCAGUAGCUAAUCAGCCCCUUCUCUAUAAUAUGCCUACAUAAUUUCAUUUAGGCUUCGUAAUAGUUUAUUAGCUCCAUUUAUGGAUGAGGAGCCAGGAGCUCAGAGGGUCAAGUAAUUUUUCUAUGGUGAUGCCGCUGGGUAGUCAAACUUCCAUGGGGAGCCUGGUAUCCCCAAAAGCCCACUGUUUUUAGUAAGCCGCUACCUUCCUUUUGGCGCUAGACAUAAACUUCAAUUCAAAAUUGAAUGCAGUCAGCUGAAUAUCCUCAUCGGUAGCAUUAAACAUUUGAGGCUAAUAAAAAGAAAUAAUUCUUUGAUUCAGAGCUUAAAUUCUGAGCCUAAGUUCUCUUUCAAAAUGCACCGUAUUUAUUGGCAUGUCACCCUCCCCUUUAUUUCUACAAAUGCCAAAUGCAAUUUUCUUUAUGACCAUCACCUCCAGUUUCCAGAAGCUUGGAAAGACAUGAGAAAGAGUUAACUCUUCCCUUUACUUAGAACAGCUUUUAAUUAAAUGCAGGUCCUAGCUUCAGAUGUUCCUGGCUGGAAUAAGAGCCUGUUCCAUCGUAGGUUUUCCUUUACAAACUGGAAAGAAAAGACAGGUGCCAUUUACAGGGGGAACUUGAACUCUAAAAAUAAUAUAUAUGCAGAUAUUUACUUCAUUUUAAUUUUUGUCUCUAAUACUUUGUCCUGGAAGGAACCAGGGGUCUGGUUAAAACUGUAGAUAAGCUUCAACAUGGGAGGCAGUCAGUGCAGGACUGGAUAGGAGAAAGGAGUCCAAGGGGACAGUUGAAUCAAGAUCUGAAAUCCAAGCUGCAGAGACUCGACUUGCAGAUAAUCUGUGAUGGUUAUUUUUAUAGCACUCGUUGGCGGCCAUUCUCAGAGCUCUGAGAGCUUAUCCUCUUAUACACUCACAGGUAGACAAUUGCCUUCUCUCUUUCACCUGAUCCCAACCUCACUGUUCAGAGAGCUUGCUCAGCCUGUGUGCCUGAGGGGUGAGCAGUGUCUGAGUAAUUAAAAUGCAGCAGUACUGCCCACGCCUAAGACAGCUAGGAAUAACCAGCAGCACCAUCGUCUUUUUUCAUGUUGAAACUGUACAAGGUGCACAGUGGGAGAGGGGAGAGGAGAGGUAUGAAGAAAAGACGGGCAGCCCAGCAGCCAGCCCUGGGCUCAGAUCCGAUAUGUGUCUCUCUAGCCGUGGGACCAAGGCAAGGGGGCUGGCUUUGUGGAGUCCUGGUUUCUUGACACUUAGAAGGAAGCAGUUGCAGUUAAUAAUUCCUACAGUCUUUUUUAUCUCUAAAAGAAGAAAAUGUCCUAACAUACAGUUGGAGCGUCAUAAUCCACAUAUUGCCUGUCUCAGUCCUUUUGGGCUGCUAUUACAAAAAUACCAUAAACUGGGUGGCUUGUAAACAACAGAAAUUUAUUUCUGUUCUGGAAGCUGGGAAGCCCAAGAUGGAGGUGCCAGCAGAUUCUGUUUCUGGUGAGGGCUUUUUCUCUCUGGUUCCUCCGUGGUGCCUUCUUGCUGGGUCCUCACAUGGUGGAAGGGCAAGGCAGCCCUCUGGGACCUCUAUUACAAGAGCACCAAUCCCAAUAGGGAAGACUCCACCCUUUAUGACCCCAUCGCCUCCCCAAAGGUCCCACCUCCUAAUACCAUCACCUUGGAGGCUGGAUUUCAGCAUAAGGAUUUUGGGGUGAGGGGCAGGAUAUUUAGGCCAUAGUACUGCCUGUCACUUGAGAGUGAUCAUCCCUUUUUUGCCUCACUAAAGACCACUCACAUGCCCUCACAUGCCCAGUGGCUUGGACCUCACCUUCUGACCUGGAUGAAUAAACUCCUCUAAAUUAAGCUACUUGUUAAAAAAAAAAAAAAAAAACUGUUUCUGUUAGGAAUAAGUUCCAUGAAUAUUAAAAGACUUGUCAGGCAUACAAAAAUUGGUUUUUCCCUCCAUUAAAAGUGAUUUCUUCUUUAGACUUUUAGAGAUCAUCUGUGGUCAUCUCAUAUUUUAUAGAUAAGCAGAUCUAGGCCCAGAGAGCAGAAGCAGCUCUUCAAUGGUCACACAGUAAAAAGACUCUCUUGUAGGACUUUUUGCCAUUUCCCUACAUGCCAAGAAAAAGGUACCUGGCAUUCACUGUUUAAAAGAAAAUUAUAAUUUAAUUUCCAAGAGAGCUAUUUUUAAACAGGACGCUGUUUCACCUUGGAAUUUUUUUUUUUUUUUGGAAAAAAAAUAAACAAGUGUACUAGAUUUGUCCUUUUAAGCCAAUUUAAGAAGUGUGCCUUCCCUGUGCUGUUGAAAUUGGCAGGCCAACAUCUUGCAGACAGACUGUUCUGGUCUACUCGGUUAGUUGUUAUCCCAAAUGCAAAUCUGACUCACGGGUGAGAUCAUGAGAAAUCUGGACUAUUUUUCUUGAUGACUUUUUCUUUCCUGCUCCAAUUUUCUUUUGCGGUGUUUGGCUCUCUGUGUGAUAUCCAUGCUGGGCAACAGAACCUUGAAAGGAUUGGUCUGAAGAUGGUCUCUGCUGCUGCAUGAAUCACAAGACAGCGGGAGCAGGUUUGGCCAUGAGCUGUAUGUGACUUUGGUGCAUGUGCAUGGAGUGGUGUGUGUGUGUGUGUGAUGCAUGGCCUUCUGGCAAAGUAAAGAUUUCUGUUUAGUGGGAUUGGAGCCCUCUUUUUAACAACACAGACUAUUUUCAUUCUACAAAUGUUUGUUGAAUAGUCACCUUUUGCUAGGUGUUGAUGAUAGAACAGGGACUCCUCCCAUCUAGAGAAGGUCACCUACAAUUAAAUAAAUUUUACUUGGUCUAGGUGACCAUUGGAUCUCCAAGUUUUAGUGGAGUUUUAUGUUGAUUUAACGUAACAAAAAAAAUGAUUUCUCUGUCACAUAACAGCCUCAUGCAGGAGUUCUUGGUCAGCAGGUGGGUCUCUUCCACAUGGUGGCUCAGGGAUGCAGGCCUUGUGCUACCGCAAUUUCCUAGGGCUACAAGUACUCUGCCUGCAGCGAGGAAGGGAAGAGAGAGUGGGGAAAAGGCAUGUCUACUUCUGAGAUGCCUUGGCUUGAUGUGUGGUGCUGCCUCUCAUAUUUCAUGGGUGAGAAUUCACCAUAUUUUCCUGGUCACAAGCAAAGGGGGCUGGGAAGUAUAGCCCAGGAUGAGCCUACACUAGAUGGAAGGGAACAUCUGGAACUUGGGGAAUAUAUGGAAUUUUGGCUACUGGGUCUGCUAAUGUACUUCACUGGGAUCAUCUUUGGAUGCUACUUAGGCAUGUAAGAGAGGUACCUAACCUAGAUAUCACGUCUUCCUUCCUUCCCCUCUCUUCCUGAGCUUGAUUUCAGCUCUCCAACCUGCCCUGCUCCACCACUUCACACACACACACCAUGGCACAUUCUCUUGCCUCCCUUGGAACAUUUCUUCCACUCCACCCCUUCCUCUGGUUGACUAAAUAUUUCAUCAAGGACAAAAGUCAAAGGCAUUUUCUAGGUAGCUUUUCCUGAACCCAUAAAUCCAGGUUGCAGGUAUGUGUUCUGCCUCUCUAUGAAGGCAAAGCAAGAUUUUAUCUAUUGGGGUUUGAGAGCCCACAGGAAGGUACUUCUGCUAAUCAAAUGGGAAUUUCAUGUUCUAAAGUUUACAUGUUAGCAUUUAGAGAGCAUAGAGAGGCAAGGGGACCACAAGAACUGGGGGAGUAAAGAAGGGGUCUUUGCACCUUCCAGUAGCUAGAAGGAGAGCAAUCCAGCCCUUUGCGUGUGGAGAGGCUGCCCGGGGGCCCCAGGCCACUUCAAUUCAGGAGCCUACACUUCCAUCAGAGAAUAAUUUUCCACAUGCUUGUUAAGGAAUGAAAUAUCCAAAUGGGGGCAGAUGCUUUCCUUGGCUACAGUGUCCUCUUCAUCCAGGGAAGAGAAGGAGAUGGUUAUCCAGCCACCCUUGGACUUAAAGCUGAAGCUGGAGGGCAGAGUGUGGAAUCCUCCAGGGUCACAGCAAUCAUGGAAUGCACCUUCCUAUUCCAACAGGGUCUUAUAAAGGAGCAUCAGGUUUUAAUUUGAGGGUAUAAGAAAUGAGCAUGUUUCUCCUGCAGCUGAAUUUAUCUCCUUAUUCAAAAAAUAUUUUCUUACUAAUUAUUUUUAAUGAUCUCCAGGAAAAGUACCUUGUGUGAUUAUUUUGACAAGUUCAUACAUGCAAGGGGCCUGCUGACCUGCAUUUACGAGGUGAUGACUGUUUCUUCUGUUUAGGUUACCAUUAGAGUCACCUAAAAAUAGACCAGUGAACUGGGUACUCAGAAAAAACUCAGUAGGAUGGAUUAGGAAGAAGACCAUGUGAAGCCCAUUGGCUCUCUGCAGCAUGUUGGCCAUUUCUUCUUCCCCACUGAAGCAGGGGCUGGGCUAAUGAGAAAAUCAUUUUGCCAUGAAAAUAAACAGAGAUGCAAACUGAAGACAAAGUAUCCAAGAUAAGGGAUUCAUUUUUAAGGUCAGUGGAUCCCUUCUCAAUUAGUAGCCUUUUAGGAGCCUUCAGUCUCUCAGGCACCCAAGUAUUUCUUGUGAUCUCUCAGCCCAAGCCCAGACAUCCAUCCUUUCAGUCACCUAAUAGUGAUAGAGACCUACUGCGUUCCUUCUAGCACUAGGGAUUCCGGGAUUAGCAGGACACUCAGAACCCCCUUCCCACAUGGUGUUCCCAUUCCAGGAGAAAGGCACAAGAACAAGUCAAUUUCAGUACCUGCCUUGUAACUUCAGGAGAGCCAAGUGCUUCUUGAAGAAAAAUAGAGCCAUUUAAGGGUCAGGGAAUGUUUUAGUCAGUUUUUUUUUUUUUUCUUCUCUGCUAUGUCUAAAGGAGCUGACCAGAACAACUAUAGAGGAGAAAAAGUUUGUGAGGGCUCACAAUUUCAGAGGUCUGAGUCCACAGAAGGCCAGUUCCAUUCCUCAGGGCUCAAGGUGAGGCUGAACACCAUGGCAGGAGAGGGUGGCAGAGGGAAGCAGCUCACAUCACGGUGAUCAGGAAGCAGAGAGAAAAAUCCAAUGGACAGAUACAAAUAUAUACCCAAAGCCACAUCCCAAUUCCCACCUCCUCCAGCCACACCCUAACAUUCAGUUCCCACUCAGUUGAUCCCUAUCAGAGGAUUAAAUCACUGAUUGGGUUAAGACUCUUACAACCCAAUCAUUUCUCCUUGUUCUUGCAUUGUCUCACACGUGAGCUUUUGGGGGAUACCUCACAUCGAAACCAUAGCAGAGAGUGAUGCCCCAGUCUUCACUCGUGUGAGUCCAGAGGCUGCUCUGGGACAGUGACAUUUGAGCAGAGUCCUGGACCAUGGGAUGGAGGUGGCCCCUAAUUUCAGGGAGGGGGAGCUGCUGAAAGAGGUCCAGCAAGUGCAAGGACCCGGAUGGGGGUGACAAGCAGGGCCAAUGGGAGAGAGAAGGAUGUGCCUUUACAGGAUCGGUAGUCCUCCCCAUCACCACCGCUGUCCUCCCCGCCACUGCAGGAGUCCUCCCUGUCAUGGCUCCUCUCUGAAGGCCAGUGAUGGCAUCUGUGACCCCAGAUCCAGAAGACAGGAGACAGUGGGGCUGGGGCUACUUGAGAACUGAUGCUGACCUCUGCUCCAGGAGGUGGAAGGAGGCGUGUGGAGAGAGCGGAGUUCCUUGACAGAUUAAUUCUUUUCUUUAGUCUACACAUGUGGCUCUGGAGGUCUGAUGUCUGGACUUUACACUUUGGUAUAAAGGGACGAAUUGAUGGUGAUAGUCACUACCCUGUUCAGAGAAGUCCACUUGGAAGUUGGUAGAGCAUCAAACUGCUUCUUUCUGUUCCUCCAAUCAUGGCGCCGUGUACCCGCAGGCAAGCCCUUGGCCCCUGAGGGUGUUCUGACUUUCAGCAGAGAACUCUGGUCUCAUGUCCCACUCACCCUUGACCAUUGCCUGUAAAAUCCUCUGAUCUUUCCAGUUAACAGCCGCUCCAUUGCUAAUAAGUCCUAUGCAAUCUUCUGCCUUCAUUGAGUUUUAUGACAUAUUUGCAUGUCAGGAUCAUUUUGGGUUUUGGAGUUUGUGUCUCCUGCUGUUCCUAAUGUCAUAAGUGGUUAGUGAUAACCCAGGAGGGGGUUAUGUUCUGGGCUUAUGAGUAGAUGAGCUUUAAAAAACAUCAAUCUUAUUUGCAGGCAAAUAUGGCUAAUGAUAGACUGGGGAAAACAAAAUAAUUCUAAUUCUGCAGUGAAUGCUUGGUUGUUUCCAGAGUGCCUGCUUUUUAAUGGAGUGCAGUAGAGAAUGAAGGACGAGAGGGAAAGGAUAGAAAUAGCUAGAGAAAAAGGUAGAAAGUGGUAGGUGUUUCUUCUUAUUUAUUUAUCUAUUUAUUUUUGCUGUUGUUGCUGUUCUAAUAAAAAUGAAAACGGAGCAACCAAAGCGAAGGACCAGCAUUGGCUCACCCCUGUGUGGGACUAGGGCUGGACCCAGGGCUCCUAUCUGCCUGUGGCUUACCUCUAGUGUAGGGGUUCUUCACUGGGGUGAUUUUGUCACUGAGUGUGCUGGAGACACCUCGUGAGUGAACAUGCUGCUUAAUAUCCAGCCAUGCACAAACAGCCUGCCUUGACAACAAGUGACCAGCCUCUAAAGUCAGUCGUGGGGCGGCUGAGCCGCAGCUCACUGGCUUCUCCUGUUCUGCCUCACCUCCUGUGUGGACUGGCUCUCCUUGCCCAGGGGAUCUCUUAUCUCUAAGUGAAGGCCUAGAGGGGCCUAGAAAUGAUCUAACCCUGAUCCAGCUUUUACAGGUGGGACUUCAGACAGAUUGUGACAUUCCUAAGUUCACACAGCUUUUUAGUAAUAGAGGUGGGAUCAAUUAACAGGAAAAAAAAUUGGAAAGAACUUUUGCAAAAUAAGAGGGUUUUGUCAGGUUUUUUUUUUUUUUUGUGUGUGUGUGUGUGUGUUCUACUUUUGGAUUAUCACUUUGUUCAUUCAGUAAUAAUUGGUUGGGCGUCUAUUAUAUAAUUGGCACUCUGCUCUCAUUCAUCACCUGAAAAAACAUGAAGACUGCUUAAAAUGGGUAAUGAAAUAAUAAUGAUGCUAAUAAUAACAUUGAAAACAUUUAUUGAAAGUUUAUUCUGGCCGGAUGCAGUGGUGCUGUAAUCCCAGCGCUCAGAAGGCUGAGGCAGGAGGAUUGCGAGUUCAAAGCCAGCUUCAGCAGAGGCGGGGUGCUGAGCAACUCAGUAAGACCCUGUCUCUAAAUAAAAUACAAAAUAGGGCUGGGGAUGUGGCUCAGUGGCUGAGUGCACCUGAGUUUAAUUUAUAGUACCCCCCUCCCCCCAAAAAAAAGGAAGUUUGUUCUGGGUCAGCACUAUAAUAAAUCCUUUUUAACUCCUUUCUCUCAUGGAAUCUUCUUCACAACCCUGAAAGCAGGGUACAGUUUUAUUCCCAUUUUAUAGGUGACAAUACUGAAGCUGGAGGAGAUAAGGAAGUAGCAGGGCUAGGAAUUCCAGCUUUGUUCUUCUGGAUUCCAGAGCCUUCCUCUUUUCCUGCAUGAUUAUUAGAUAUUUAAGGGUUGCUGUAGGUGGGGACUAUUUUUUUUUAAGGAGUUUUGGUUUAUUUUUGUAGUGCUUAAGAUGGAACCUAGGGCCUCACACAUGCUAAGCAAGUGUUCUACCACCCAGUGACAUCCCCAGUCCCUUUAGAGUAUUUUGACCAAAACUCAAAGAGAAGAAAUGCAGUUAUUCUGCUGGUUUCCAUCACACCAGCCAUCAAAGGGUUUUUGCUAGUUUUUUGAUUGCUGUUGUUUUAGGAUUUUCAAAGCAUACUAGGACUUUUUUUUUUUAGUUGUAGUUGGACACAAUACCUUUAUUUUAUUUAUUUUUAUGUGGUGCUGAGGAUCGAACCCAGGACCUCGCACGUGUGAGGCGAGCUCUUUACCAUUGAGCCACAACCCCAGUUCCUAUAUUAGGACUUUUAAUACUUUUUAAAAUACUGUGUGUGUGUGUGUGUGUGUGUGUGUUGCUACUAUGUCAGGGAGGGGGCUAAAUACUGGGGAUUCAGCAAUGAACAAAAUACUUGUCUUAGUUUGAGUCCCUGCAAAGCAGACCCUGGCCAGGGAUUUGGUGCAGACACUGUGGUGCGGAAUGGGGAGGUGGGGGAAGAAGGGAUGAAGCUGAUAAGGCACUGCUGAUGAGAUGACUGCAAGUCAGCCAGGGUGCCCUCCCUCUGUGGAUCUAGGAGUCUGUGGGGCCCACACCUCAGAAUGGCCUCACUAAGAUUUGUGGUCUCUGGUUAUCCAGCCACAGGCUCCCCCCUGUUCCUUCAUUGCAUGCACAUUGCUUCUGAGGACAUUCAUUCCCUGGCACCUCCCCAGCCAGAGACCAUCCCCAGGCAGAGACAGAAGAACCUCAGGUCAAGUUUGAGAAGUGUCCUUAGGAGAUCUCCAGGGAGGGUGACUAGGACCACCACAUCUGUCACUGUCCAGCUCCCGCCCUUGAGGAACUCUCAGUCCUGUGGGGCAGGAAGACCACCAGAAUUCACAGUACCGUAGGACCAGGGGAAGGUGAGCCCCAGGAAUGAAGAAGAACAACACAAGGAGAUGCCUUCAUCGGGGGACAUUAAGAAGGCUUUACGUCUUCCUUGUUCUCAUCACUAGGACACAACAUCGAACACUGUGGAGUGUUGCCCUUGUUGCCUGAGUGCAUUUAGUUCUUUCCCGUGCAUUGUCAUGCCAGGAUACCCUUGUGAUCAGCAUCAGGACUAGGAACCUGGCAUGCUGUGCUCACAGCAUGGCACCUCUCUGCCAUUGUCCUUGAAGUCGUGUAGUGAAGAGCGUGGUGCCAGCCCCGUGGCCCUGCCUGUCCUCUAGAGCCAACGCUUCUUCAGAUCCAGAUCUUCAUUGUUAUCAGUGUGAAACUUGGGCAAGUGGCCGACCUGGGGGAGCCUGAGCUUUGUGAUGGCUGUCAGAGGACAGGCCCUCAUGGCCUAUGCUAAUGUUUCUCUGUGCAAAAUCUAGAAGCACAGAAAUAUGCAUGCAUGCAGAUCACACGGAGAGCUUGUUAAAAUACAUUCCUGAGGCCACCUCCAGGGGUUGUGGUUCAAUAGCUGCUGGGCUUCAGGAUAACUCCUUCUCUCCUGGCUGUGUCCACCUGCAUCAGGGUUUCUCAGCCUGGGCAUUUUUUUUAUCCGGGGCUGAAUAAUCAUUUGUUAUGGGCUGCCUGUGCCUUUAGUCACAUCCCUGGGCUCAACCCAGUAGAUACCAGCAGUACCUUCUAUAAUGACAACCCAGGAUGUCAGCUGCCACCUGCCCCCUAGGAGGCAAAACUUGACCCCUGACCUAGAUGUUCUAGAAGACUGCUUUCCAGACCUCUGAGUACAUGUGAAUCAGCAGGGGAUUUGUUGAAAUGCCCAUUCAGCAGGUCUGGGGAGGGGCCUGAGUCUAUUUCUGUUGCCUUCCAGGUAAUGCUGAUGCUGCCAGUGGGUGGAUACUUUGAGCAGGCACAGUCCACCCUCCAGUGAGUGGAGAAAUUUGGUUGAACUCAAGUCACGAAGUUGUCCCUGCAAGUGCUGGUAACUGGGUCAGUCCCUCUGGUUACCUCUGAUUCCCAAGGUUGAUUAAGUCUGUGGCUGCUGCUUCCCUCCCUUCCCCUCCCCUACCAGGCCCUCCUCCAGCUGUGUUCCUACCCUGCUUGCCCAGGGAGGAGUGAUCUUUCCUCUGGGAGAGACAGCAAACCUGUUUUCCCUUGGUAGGUACAGGGAUCUCACCGGGACAUUCUCGGUCCCCAGAGAGCCCACUUAAACUUCUGAGUCUUGCAUUUUUUUUUUUUAAAAUGAGUUUUAAAGGUGGAAAAUAAAAGGAAGGAGCCUCGAAGGUCAGAAGCACAGGUGUGCCAACCUGAAACUCUGGAGGUCUUAGGGAGUCUCUGGUGACCUGAGGAGGGGGUGAUUCUCACAGCCAAAGCAGAAGCUGCAAUUAUGGAGCAGAACCAGGAAGGCCUGAGGCAGAUGGGGCUGGAGGUGGGGCUCCCUUUACACAUCACUAAACCCCAGGAGUUAUUCUAGUAAUGAAACUCUUCUUUGCAGACUUCUAGAAAUGCUGUCACUUUGCCCAUUGUUAUUUUUAGCCCUUGUCUGUUUCCUAUUGUUAGGAACAGUAAAAAUUCUUAGGAGACCUUUUCUGCCAGUGCUUUGGUGAGAAGGUUUGAGAUAGUGAGGUGAAAGAAAAGUGGCUACUCUCUGGCAAAGUCCCCCAAAGAAGGUAUCCUGGUAAGGGGAGAGGAGAAGGAGCAGCAGGUCUCUACAGGCGAGUGCUGGUGUUCACUAUGGGACAUCUCAAGUGGAAUAAAGUCUCUGAGGUGUGGCCACUGUUUCAGUAGGGUCCUUAGGACAGGCCUGUGCUCUCUACAGUACAGGGUGUGUUGGGGGUGGAGGGAAAACAUUCCAGUUUCUAAAAUGCAAACUGCUACUUUGAGGACUCCCACUGGCUGGACCUGGGACACUGUGUUUGACAAGCCCUACGCUUAACAACAGAAUAUGACCCCUUGGUUUUCCAGUAGGAAGGAUGUGCACAUACGGUGAGUUCUAUGAAGAUUUAUGUGGGAUAGAGAGCAGGGAGGUCAGGCAGUGUUAGGGACUGAAUUUUGUGUCCUCCAAAAUUCAUAUUGAACCCUAAUCUCCAAUAUGAGGGUAUUUGGAGAAAGGGCCAUUGGGAGGUGAUUAGGACAUGGAGGUCGAGCCCCCACGAUGACAUGAGUGCCCAUGGAGAGGAGCACACCAGAGAGAUUGUUUCCUCUCUGUCUCUCUCUCCACCAUGUGAGGACAUAGCCAGGAAGAGGUCCUUCACCAGGGACUGAAUCUGCCGGCAGAUUGAUCUUGGACUUGCAGCCUCCAGAAGUGUGAGCACCAAACCUAGUUUAUGGCAGUACUUUUACAAAGCAGCUUGAAUGGACUAAGACAGUCUAGAAAACGACCUAGACCCUCAGGCUUCCAAGUGCUGUCUGUGAACAGAUACUUACUCAGGGUGAAAAUUUUAUUCUAGCAAAAAAUGAGGGGAGUAAGGUCAAUACAGUGAGUUUUUCUUAAAGCUAAACGUAUUCAUUUUAAAGAAUAAGCUUUGUGCUACACAUAUAGCCUUCCUGCUUUGGAAGAGGUUAAACUGUCUUGUCAUUAAUGAAAGUAUGGUGUUUCUCAGUUAUAUUUAUUUAUUUGGUAUCUUUUACUGGCAAAAAAAAAAGUUUGAAAUAGUUUUGUUCCAGCAAUAAUUUAUAAAACUUUUAUUGGUCUUUGAAAUCCAGAUGUCUAGAAACCACUGAAUUGGGCAAUUAGAAAAGUGGAGGCCAGAAAUGGUAAUGUCUGCACUUGGCUGGUAGCUGUAGGAGGGGAAGGGAUUGAAGGAGGACAGGACAGAGCUUUGUGGCUGGCUUUUUGGAUGCCUCUGCAUCUGGGCAACUCAGUGACAAUGGGAACUUUUACAGAAUGCAGAAGUUGGAGAGGGAGAGAGUCUGGGGAUAGAUGGAACAUUUGGAAGUCAUAAUCAUAAAAACAUUAAUGUCUGCUGUUUGUUGAGGGUACAUUUCUGUGAGCUCCAUUCCCAUGAUUUCAUUUAACCCAUGUGACAGCCAUGUGACAUUGGUACUGUUGCUACUUCAAGAUUACAAAUGCGAGUAGAGAGAGGGGAGAACUGCCCUUUGGCACACAGCAAGCCAGUGUGGAGGAUUCAAAUGUGGGACAUUAGCAGCCUAAAGCCCAAGAAGGCACCAAGGCCCUGUUCUGUUGCUCCACCAUCUGUGUGGGACCUGGGUGCUAUGGCCUGAGAGAAGAUGAUGGAAAGGGAAGGGGCAGAACAGGGAUAAAGAGGAAUUUGGUCAGGGGACCCAGAAACCCUCAGAUCCCAUCUCCUACCAGCCAGUCCCCCUGAAAGAAAAGACUGUAUGCAGAGGGCUCUGGCUGGCCACCAGGCACCAUUUUUUCUGGUAGCGUUAGCCCUAUAUUACAUUGUACAGUUGUGUCUGGGCUGGAGGUGGACUGAAGCCCGGAAGCUGGUGUCCUCCUUCCUGGCCCCACCCCCACUUCCCAAGUUUACCCCUGAGGUUUGCCUCUCAUACUCUGAUGGGGAGGAAAGGCUGUGCAGGGCAUGCCCACCACCAGGAAGAAGCACUGUGGUGUGUGCUAACCUCUGCCUCUGCCUGCAUGGGUUCUAAUCAAAGGAAUCAUAAUAACAGGAUCAAUGAUUGGGAGCCGGGCAUUGUUCCAAGGACUUUAUGUGGAAUAGAAAAUAUACUCCAAAAAGGGAAUGAGCCAAAAGAACAGUUGUUCCAAUGUAGGUGUCCCUUCCACUAAGGCCUUGCCCUCUCGAAACGUGGUCCAUUUGGUGGCUUGAAUUCUAUCCACUUUCUUAUGCCUGGAAGAACUUUGAAUUCCUUAUCCACAAAAACUUAGGUGAGAAGAUAUUCCAUGUGUACUCAGCUCAUCAAAGGAAGGGAAAAUGGCCUGUUAUGUGCCAAGUUCACCCUUUGAACAAAUGUCAGACUGGCUGUGACUUAGCCUUAAGGAUUUUUUAUUUCAUUUAUGAAUUUAUUCACUUAGCAGGAGCUAAUCAAUCACUCACUGUAAAUUUGUAGCACAGAGGAUGAAACAAAGUCAUUCGUAACUCAACCUCCUCGAAAAGUCAGAACCUGGGAUCAAUAGAGUGUUCUUGUGUGCACACCAAAGGCCUCAAAGGUCCAGAAGGAGCAAUCUGCACAAGAAGGACCGAGGGAGGGAGGUAGCGUGGACUUGAAACAGACGUGAAGGCCAAAUAGAUGAGUGUACAGCUGAGGUCGGGGGCAGCGUGGGACCUGAAAUGAAGGUGAGUGGGAGUAAAGAGAAAGGAACUUACAGAGAAAUUCAAGUGACUCUUUGAAGGCAUGUGACUUCCCCAGGGGAGGUUAAAAAACAAGCAAAUAAAAAGGGCUUGACUUUGAUAACUCUUUUCAAAAAGCCCAGAGGCGCAGCUUGGAUCUUCUUCCUGCCAUAGUUCUGGCCUUCCUAUAUCCUCAGUGAGGGCCCAACCUGUUUGUAUGAAGAACAAAAUGAGCUGUGCUCUACUUGGGGAGCAGAGUGGAAAGUGGUUUGGCGCAUCCUCCAGUUGGGUUGCUGAUGAGAGCCUAAUGCUUUCAAAGCUUCAGUGCUAGGAACGGCUGGGUUACUGUCAAGCCCACGACAGCCCGGGCAGUUGGGAGUGAUGACCAUGUCCUGCCCUCUCUGGUUUUGUGUCAGGCUUUGGGGAACAAUUUCGAGAAAACCAUGCAGGAGGUAUAUCCAUGAAUGGAAUACUACUCAGUAAUACAAAGAAAUGCAAUGGGAUGAGUGAAUCUCAGAGAACUUACGCUGAGUGAAAAGGAGCCAAAUGAAAUGAAGACAUACUGUAUGCAUCCAUUCAUAAGAAACUCUGGAAAGUGCAGGCUCACAUUUUGGUGGAGGGUGGGUACUGGGAAUGGAUCCUAGGGGAACCUUACCACUGAGCCAUGUCCCCAGCCUUUUUUAAUUUUUUACUUUUGACCAAAUAUCACUAAGUUUCUUAGGCCCUGGCUAAAUUGCUGAGUUUGACCUUGAAUUUGAAAUCCUCCUGCUUCAGCCUCCUGAGCUGCUGGGAUUAUGGCAUGUGCCACCACACCCAGCUCAGGCUCAUCUUUUUUUUAUUUCCAAAUAAAUUAUAUCUUUAAUGUGCUCAAAGAAAUAAUCGACAAAGCAGAAUCCUGUACCCACCAAAAAUGUCUCUCUCUCUCUCUCUCUUUUUCCAAAUUUUUUAUUUUAACUUGAUCUGUGACAGCAGGCUCAUCUUGAAGAGCAGAAAGCUGACCAGUAUUUUCUGGGGGGCUGGGGAGGCUGGGUGGGCAAUGGCACAGAGGGGAGGGAGCGAGGGAUUAUAAAGGGAUGCAAGAGAACUUUGGGGGUUAGUGGGUUUGCUCAUUAUCUAAAUUGCAGUGAUGGUUUCAUGGAUAUAUACUUAUGUUAAAAGUAACAAAAUGUGUGCUAUAAAUAAGUUAAAUGAUACCUCAGUAAAGCUUUUUGUUACAAAUGUGUUGGCCAGACGAGCAUUCCCCAGGGCCUGUGUGUGUUGCUGGUAGGGUUCCAACAGGUGGAUGUUCCCAGAGGAAGUUCCUGGGAGGACGGUCAUGGUCUGACCUCACAGAGAGGGGCAGGCGGUGAGACUGAGCAGAGGGAGAAACGGGGCUGCAAAGUGUCAGCCAACCCUCUGGGACCCCUUAAGAGUUGUCCCGAGAUGUGCCCUGGGAACCUGUCCUUCACACUGCCACCUGGGUAGAAGCUCGGGGGCAGUUCCCCCGAGUGCUGGCAGUGAAGGGCUGGGUGACAUGAUGCUUCUGAGCUGGAGUUCAUCCCAGCACCCUCUAGAGGGGUUCAUCCCAGCAACUGGGCAUCCUAAAGUAUAUUUCUUAUUUUUGCUUUUUGCUGCAAAGGGACAAUUAGCCAGGUCCUGUCCUCAGUAUGUAAUCCCCAGUCCUAUUUUGAGGCCCUUGGCGAUAAAAUGUUUUGCCCUGCCAGACUUUUGGGGAAGGGUGAUGUGGGCAAGAUGGUUGUCUCCGGCUUCAGAGCCUCCCUCUGUUGAACUAAUUAAGGGCUCUCUUGUUUUGUGUGGGAGACAGAGAGUAUUUCCCGUAUCUGCUGUUUCACUUUCUGUGGUUUCCGUUACCCGUGGUCAACCUGGUUCUGAAAAUAUUAGUAUUUGACAUGAGUCUUUUUUUUUUUUUCCUUUGGUGCCAGAAAUUGAACCCAGGGGCACUUUACCACUGAGCCACAUCCCCAGCCCUUUUUUGUUUUUUAUUUAGAGACAGGGUCUCGAUAAGUUGCUUAGGGUCUCGAUAAGUUGCUUAGGGCCUCACUAAGUUGUAGAGGCUGACUUUGAAUCUGUGAUCCUCCUGCUCAGUCUCUAGAGCUACUAGGAUUACAGGUGUGCACCACUGUACCUGACCUUGACUUGAGUCUUUUAAGAGAGAGAAACCACAUUCAUGCAACUUUGAUUGUAAUACAUUGCUAUCGUUCUAUUUUAGUAUUAGUUAUUGUUAAUUUUUUGCUAUCCCCAAUUUAGAGAUUAGACUAUGUUACAGAUAUGUAUAUAGAGGAAAAAUUACAUUCAAUAUAUAGGCAUUGUUACUAUCUGCAGUUUCAGGAAUCCCCUGGGGGUCUUGGAACUAAUGCCCUACAGAUAGGGGGGAUGACUGUGUUUCUCAGAGUGCCAUCCUCCUAUUUAGAUGACUUGCUCUUGACUGAAAGAUGCACAGUGAAUUGGCAGAUUUCACAUUUUCUGAUGGAAAGCAAAAUAUUUUUUCACUUUUGCAAAGUAGCUUAUGCUUUAAGUUUAAGUUCCAAUAGCUCAUGCUGUCAAAAGUUUUCCUCUAAAAUAUUGAGGAUUUUCAAAAGUGUGUUAAGGCAGCUGUGUCUUUCACCUGAGAGAUAUUGUCUCUGAGAAGGACACCAAAGUUGCUCCCAGGUAUCUUGUGGGAUACCUUGUUGUCACCUGAAAAGAUACUCGUCAUUGUAGUGUAUUGUACAAUAUCCACCUGGACCUAGGGAUGCUCUGCCACUGAGCUACCACCCCAGCCCUUUUUAAUUUUUAUUUGGAGAAAGGGUCUCACUUAGAUCCUAAGGCUGACCUCUAACUUACAAUCCUCCUGCCUUGGCCUCCUGAGUUGCUGGCAUGUACCACCACACCCAGAUCCAACCAUGUUUUUAAUGUAACAAACACUUAGGCCAUGCUUACAGUAUGCCAGGUACUGUUCCCCAUGCUUUAUAAAUAUUAGCUAAUUUAACUUACUCCCUCUAGCAGCUGAUGAAAUAAGUACCUUUUCACAAAUGAAAAAACAGAUAUGUCUAACCUCUAGCAAAUGGGCUGUAGACUUAGAGUCAUAUACUUAUGUCUACUUACCCAUUUUUAAUCUAUUUCCUCCCCUGAAUGAGUAUCAGAGUUUUGAAAAUUCCCCUUCUGAUUAAUUCUCUUAGAUCCUAUAAAUACAGUGACUAUAUAAACCAAGGAUCAUUAAACUCAUCUUCAAGCUUUCAAAGCAGAGUUUAUAGAAUUUUGUCAAAUUUUGCCUUACCACAAUCCCCCAAAUAUUCAGCUCCAGAAGUUUAAAUAUAUCUUUUACACUUUCUUGCUUAGAUGUUAGACAUAGAAUUAUUUUAUGUUUAUUUUGGGGUUCAUGAAAUGAUUGAGAAACGUGUGAAGUCCUCAUUCAUUCAUUCAUUCAUUCAUUCACAAGUAGAUGUGACUGAAGAACUAGCUAGUGAGUGGACCUGGAGAGGACAAGGUCCUCUGCUGACUGACUGCUUAUAUGAGCCUGUUUUCUGUUACUGUAAUGAAGUACCUGAGGCUGGAUACCUUUAUAAGUAAAAUGGUUUAUUUAGCCAAAAGUCUGGCAUUGACUGAGCUUUAGUGAGGGUCUCAUAGCACUUGGUAUCACGAUGAUAGGAGUACUUAUUAGAGAAAGUGAUCACAUGGUGAGACACAAAGCCACAACAUGACCUAGGGACAAGGCUUACACUUUUAUAAAAAUUUGCUCUCACAAAAACUAACUCAGAGUCCCAUGAAAACUUUAAUUCCUUCCAAUGACAGCACUCUCAGUGACCUCAGGACCUCCCACUAGGCCCCACCCCUUAAAGGUUACAGGGCCUCUUAACAUUACCACACUGAGACCCAAGCUUCCAACACACAAACCUUUGAACAUUGCCCACCGCCAGGAUCUGCUAGGAUCCUAGGGGACACAUCUGAUGGUGACUCUAGUUUCCCUUUACAGCACAGGCUCUUGCCAAUGGAAUAGAGUAGGUUUUGAGAAGAAGGCAAACCUUUGCUUUGUAGACAUCACACAAAAAGACUUCCUCAGAUCCGAGAAGAAGGAAGACUAGAUCUGGAUAUGAAUAAAAUCAGGUAUAUGGAUGUGAACAAAGCAGUUGCUAAUGGGAGGUAAGAAUGGGCUGGCUGUGGGAUUUGGCCUCUUGAGAGUUGGGGAGGAACUUUGCACUUGACAAGCCAAAUGAAAAAGUCUCCUCAUUCAUGCCACCUCAGGAAGGUAAUCCUUCCUGUGCUGCUGGGAGGAGCUGGAAUCACCCUGCACGUGGCUCCGCCUCUGCAGCCAGAGGCUGGUGGGGAACACACGCAGGCCUGUGGCUCCACAGCCUGGCCGGCCAGGUUUCUCAUCUGGACACAUGAGCUCAAUUACUCUGCUGCUCUCUGGAAAGCAGGCUGCCUCGACCUUGAAUCCCUGACCCAGCGCCAGGGCCUGCCGGGUUUGUAAAUGCCGCCUCUUGUGGGUGCAGAGAGCCUUUGCCCAGCUGGGCAGCUUGCUUCCUGCCAUUCAGAGAGAUGCCCCUUAGCGACUGGUCUAGCUUGAGCUGCUCUGACCGGCUUCACAGACAAUGAUUGACUAUUGACACCCGUCCUGGGCAUUGGCCAAAUCUGAAUUCCUUCUCAGGACUCCCUCAUGCUUCUUGUCCUCAAGGUCAACACCUGUAAAAUGAUUAUCACCAUAUCUGCAAAUACUUUGGCUUUUUCCAUGAAUGGAGACCAUUGCCAGAUUACCACUAAAUGUUUCCAAGCUGCCACUUGGGUGGAAAAUUACUUCUGUUUCCUUCCUCAGCAUGUGAUAAACAUUAAAGGCUUAAAAAUGUUGGAUUAUCAAUACCUAACAUCUGUUUUAUUUGUAAUGAACUUUUGAUUCUGGAAUUAUUUUAGAUUUACAGAAAAUUUAUGAAUUAGGGUUCUCCCUCUUUCUCCCAUUUUUUGUAGAGGGGGUACUGAAGAUCAACCUUAGGGCCUUACACAUGGUAGACAGUCACCCUACCACCAGGCCACAUCCCCCGUCCCUGCUGUUAUAUAACCUGGUACAUUUGUCAGAAUGAAGAAACCCUAAUGGCACAUUUCCACUAACUCAACUCCACAUUUUAUUCAGAUUUCGCGAAUGUCCUUGUGUGUUCCAGGAGUCAAUUCAGGAUACACCAGUGCAUUUAGUAACAUCACUGCUUGGUAUCAGAGUGUCUUACUUAGCUCAGGACAUUAUAAAAGCAAGAAAGAGCCAGGUAAGGUGGUUCAAACGUGUAAUCCCAGGCACUUGGGAGGCUGAGGCAGGAGAAUCUCAAGUUCAAGGCUAGCUUCAGCAAAUAGACUUACUCACAAAAUAAAAAGAAGGGUUGAGAAUGUAGCUCAGUGAUUAAGAAUGCCUGGGCUCAAUCCCCAGAUUGAAAAAAAAAGGGAGGAAGAGGAGGAGGAGGAGGAGGAGAAAGAGAAAGAAAGAAAGCAAAGAAAAGAAAGAAAGAAAGAAAGAACAAUAUUGAUUUUGGGGAAGUUGUCUUACAGGGAAUACAUUUUCUUUUCUAAUAACAACCAAAACUUGGCUGACAUCCAUCAUCUUGGGCUGUGAACAGCAGUUGUUAUUCAUUUAUUAUUGAUGUCAUAGAUUUUUCCAUAGAGCUAAUUAUUCAACUUGAAUUUGAAUCCUUCUAUUUAUUAGCUUUUGUUCUUCAUAGAGUGUACACAUGGAUAUACAUACACAUGUUUCUCACACAUAUGCACAUUAUGUGUGUGUAACACACAAACAUACGUGUCUGUAUGUGCCUCUGUUUCUCUGCCUGUCCACAAACACCUUUCCUGCCAUAUUCAAUUCCAAAGGCUAUGCAGAGAGUUUUCACAACUAUCAUCUUUUCAGAAAUUAGUUUUUAUAACAAAAGGUUUACCUUUUUAAAAAGUUAGAUUCGAUGUUGUUUUAAGACAUUUACAAGUUGAUCUUGGCAACCGUUAUUGCUCCCAGGGUGUGUGAUGCUUUUGGUAAAUGUAGAAACUUCAUUUAAAAACCCCAUCUCACAAGAGCUAGUUUCCCCCAAAGAAGGGAAUAAUAUAUUUUAAAGAAGGAAUGCUGGAGAGGUGUUUAUUCCAACUAAAUAUAUUAUAGUAGCACAGUUUAGACUCCUUUGCCAGUGACAGAAAAUGCAUAGUAUAGGACCAAAAGAAGGGUAUAAUUUUUUUUUGGAACACCACAUUCUUUCUUCUCCCUAAGACCCACAGAGAUAAUUAUAUGAUUGGAAAAUUAGACCCAAGAGGGAAAUUUAAAGGAACUGGGACCGGCUACAUGAGGUGAGUGAGGGCAGAGAGGAUGGUCUGCAUUUCCUAUAGCACCAGGGGGAGGGAGGGAAAGCCACCCAGCUUGGCCAGGGGCCUGGGACAGACUUGGCCAUGAAGGGGUUAGUAUUUGCUUGGGAAGCUCUCACAUCUGUGGCCACAUUUCAGGUGGGUGUGUGAGGCCAAUGCCAAUCCCUCUGUUUGUUCCAAGGUCCCAGGUCCAUAGUUGGGGCCUAACUGCAUCUCGGGGGAUGCAGCUGGUGAAACUGCCUUGGUGGUACACGCUUUCUUCCAAUUCAAAAAAGACUUCAUUACGACCAGUGAGGCUAGUACCAACUGGUACUAUUAACGUUGUAAUUUAAAAGGGCACAUACUUAUAAAGCCUAAAGAAAUGUGAAAAUCAAGGCUAAUUGGGUACCUUCCUUCCCCAUUUAAAAUUCUUAAUAACCAUGUAAUUAAAUCUUGUUUUUCCUUCUCCAAGGUUAAAUAGAACUAGCAUGUUCUCCGUCUUUGGGGUGUAUAUGUGCCUGUGUGUGCACAGGUGUGUUUGUAUGUACAUGUGGGCAUGGUUCAGACAUUUUGGGAUUUCAGGAUGACUAAACCUUAAAAACCCCCUCAGGUGAAUUUUUGCAUGGGCUGAGACAGUCCAUUUCCACCACAAGCUGCCCCACUCCUUUUGCACCCUCCGCCAUUCCUUGCCCCUUACUUUCAAGCCGAGGUAGGAAGACUCCCAAUAGGGCAGGAGUGUGUGAGUCAGCGGUGUGAACCCAGGACACUCUCCCCACCCCGCCCCCAUCGGGUGGGAGUCAUUUAUCUUUCUCUGGACCCAACCAAGGCUCUGACUUUAUCUCUUUGAGGCCAUCUCCUGUCUGACCCCUGCCAUCUGGUGUUUGCUAAUAAUUUGCUUUCGACCCUUAAGUUUUGCUCAUUAAAUCCCCUCCUUGGCAGCUCUGUAGCUCCCCUGCAACUUUACAGCUUGGCCUUGGGUAUAGGCUGCAUCCAACAGAGCCUGAAGGUACAAAAUCUCAGUUAGAUCAGAACAUUAAAAAACAAAAACAAAACCCCAAGAAUUAGAAAAGAAGGUCAUAAGAUUUUCAAGCAGAUUUAAGGUGCUGUGUCCACAGUGUUAGGGAGUAGCACGUGGAACCAUACAUAUUAUUCAAAAAAUUUUUUUUCUUCUAAGGGUGCUUUAAAAAAACCCAAAAGAUGGCUAAUAAUUUCAUUAUUCAGAUCAUUCUUAUUGGUCCAUUUUCAAAUGAAAAAUAUAUACAUGAUUACAAAAUUCAAACAAUGCAGACUGAUUAAAAAUGCAAACUUGAAAGUCUCAGUACAAAGACUCACAUAUUUACAUAGAAGAAUACGAAGCACAAGAGGUUUUGUUUGCUGUUCUCCACUCAAUGUGCCUUGGAGAUAGUUUGAUAUCAGCACAUAAAGGUUUCUUCCAUUUUCUAUCAUGUGUAAAGUAGUCCAUCUUAUGGACAUAUGAUCAUUAACCUAGCCAGUCCCCUAUUGAAGCACACUUUGCUUGCCCUCUCAUUUUUUUGCUGUAGUGAAUCUGUGGCGGACAUCCUUGUACCUAUGUCCCAGGAAAUUUCUGCAUAUGCAUCUGUUGUAUAAAUUAAUACACGUAGUAGGAUUACUGGAAUAAAGUAAACAUACAUUUUAAAUUUGAUAAUAAAAAUACCAUGUUAUCCCAAAGAAAGGUUGCGUGAAUUGAGAUCCGUACAAGAGCCAUUUGCCACAUAUGCUCAGGUUUUGGUUUUUGUUUGCUUUGUUUUUUAUUCAUUUAGAAGUUGUUUUGCUCUAAGCUUGAAUUUGGAAUUCAAGAGUUUUGGGUUUUUUACCAAAUGCAAAAUCAAUUACCCCAAUAUUGAACAAUCUCUAUUUUCCCUAGAGAUCUGAAAUCUACCCUCAUCAUGAGUCUGUGCCAAUGACUGUCAAAUAUAUAUUUCCACAGUAAGCUCCUCCUCACGUAGCAGCCACCUGUCUACUAGAGCAGCCACCACGUAGCAGGCACCUGCCUGCUGACAGCUGUACUCGGAUAGGUGUCUCCAGUGAUGGAUGGAUAUGAUAGAGAGUCUUUGGUUUAUUACUCCCACUGACAAACCUGUUCUUGCUCAUCUUCUUCCGUUAAUGGUGCCAGCUCAUCUAACCAGUUACUCAGACCAAAGCACCAGGAGCUAUCCUUGAUUCCUUUCUUUUUCCCCUCUUUCAUUUCUAACCAACCAACAACUAUGUCAAGACCGUAGCCCACAUCAGACUUGCCAACAUAAUCACUUAAUCACUUCCUCCUCAGUGAUACCAGCAUCACCUUUUGGAUGAACCAUUGCAGGUGAUAGUCUUAGUUUAUUUUGUAUUGGUACAACAGAAUACCUGAGACUUGGUCAUUUGUGAAAUAAAUAAAUAAAUUGAGUUCUCACAGGUCUGGAGACUGGGAAGUCUAAGACUGAGGAUCUGCCUCUGGCAAGGGCCUUCUGACUGCAUCAUAAUAUGGUGGCAGAAGGCACCACAUGGCGAGAGAGCAGGAGCGAGCAAACUCAGGCCUCUUUAUCUUCUAGACUGUUAAUCUCAUUAUGGGGGCCCACCCCCAGGACCUCAUGUCGUCCUAAUUACCUCCCAAAGGCUCCUAUCCCACAUACUCUCAACAUAUAAACUUGGGGAUCAAGUUUCCAACACAUGAACUUGGGACGACACAUUCAAACUGUAUCACAGGGGGAACCGGAAUUGCAUUUCUCUUGUCUUCACGAUCCUUCUCUCUUCAUAGUAGCUAAAGUCAUUGUUUUAAAAAAUGUGUAACAGAUACAGGGCUCUACAGACUAAAGCCUUUGAGUGAUUUUUCCAUCUCAAUUAGAUCAAAAUCCAGAGUCCCCAUCAGUCCCGCCCUCACCUGCCUUCCUAGAUUCCUCUCCUGUCCUCUGUGGCCACCUUUCUGUCAUGCACACAGCUCCUUCCAACCUGGGGGUCUCGGUUGGUGCCCUUACUUUUGCUGGAAUGCUCUUUUUGGUGGCCUGUUCCUAAGGUCUCAACUCAAAUGUCACCCUCCUUACACUUAUUGCCUUGUUUCGUGCUGUCAACACUUAACACUUUAUGGAUUUUGUAAGCGUACUUAUUUAAGGGUUAGGAUCUUUGUCCAUUCUGUUAGGUGCCCAAUCAGCAUCUUCAACAGGGCCCGACACACAGUGGGCACUUGAACUUUUUUUCUGGAAUUUUAUUUUGUACCAUUGCCCUGUCUAUUGGUUCUUCAUUACUAAUUUCCUUAUAUUAUUGUAGCUUCAUAAUAAGUUUUCAUGCUUGUAAGAACAGGCUUUCUCUGCCCGAUGCCCCACAACCUCCUUUUCUUUCAUAAUUUUCCUGGCCAUUAUGUGUUUCCUUUUCCAGAGGAAUUUUCUAAAAGUACGCCUUGCUGGCAUUUUAAUUGGGCUCACGUUGAAUUUAUGGAUUAAUUUGGAGAGGGGAAAAAAAUCACUGAACCUUUUAAUCUAAAAACAAGUUAGACCUUUCUCUUAAUUUAAAAUUUUUUCUGGUUCCUAAGUAGAAUUUUUAAAACUUUCUAAUAUAGAGAAUUGAGAACAUACACAAAGGUAGGAAAGUAAAAUGAACCUUGCUAUAUCCUUCAAACAGCCCCUACGUCAUCAGUUUCUGGCCAUGUUUCUCUCAUCUGUACCCUACAUGCUCCCUCUCAUACAGUUCUCAAACAAAUCCCAGACAUCCAUCUUAUUGUUUCAUCUGUAAAUGUUUCACUGUGUAGAAACGAUAAAGAUCCAUCCUUCCUUCCUUCCUUCCAUUUUUUUUUCUUUUUUAUACUGGUGAUUGAACCCAGGGGUACUCUACCACUGAGCUUCAUCCAUAGCCCUUUUUAUUUUUUAUUUUAAGUCAGGGUCUCAUUUAAUUGCUGAGGCUGGCCUCAAACUUGCCAUCCUCCUGUCUUGACCUCCACAUCAUGAGCCACUGGGAUUACAGGUGUGUGCUAUCACACUGGGCAGGUUAUUUCUUAAAUAUAAUCAUAACAGCAUUAUUAUACCAAAAAAUCAACAAUAUUUUCUUAUCAGUAGUUCUAAAGUCUUCUUCUUCAUGCAUGUUUCUUAUUGGCUGUCAAUAUGUAUUUGUAUAUAUAAAUCUGUAUUUCUUAUUGAAUACUGGUGUAUUGGAAAUUUUGAUAUAUUGAUAUUAGCAAAGCUGUAAGUAUUUUAAAUUUCUAUGGCAAAUAGGAAUAUUUGUUUUCCAUUACAUUUUUCAAACUGUUAUUUUUUAUAAUAUUAAAACUAACAAUGUUCAUAUAUUGGCUUUAUAAUCUGUGUCAUUCAAUUUUCCUAUUGUUUCUAGACUUUUCUAGUUUUCUCACACCUGUAGUUGCAGGGUUCUGGAAUAAGUGUGACAAGGGCCUAAACCCCCAGAAUCUUUGCACACCUGCAAUACACACAGAGUUGUGGAGUUGGUGCAAUGGUGCUAGAAGGGACCCAGAACGGAUAUUAGAUACCAGAGGGAAUUUUAUUAAUCUGGGGUAGGACAUAAAGUGAUACAUUUGUGCCAGGUGUGUGGUACAUACCCAUACUUCCAGCUGCUUGGAAGGUGGAGGCAGGAGGAUUACAAGUUCAAAUUCAGCCUCAGCAACUUAGCAAGACCCUAAGUAGCUAAACACCUCUGGGAUCAAUCCAUCAGCACCACUACCAAAAAAAAAAAAAAAAGAUACAUUUACAUAAUGCAAAAGAAGUUCAUUCAUGAGUUCAAAGUAAGUCACCAAGUUUCAAGGAAGGGGUGUUCCCAGCAAGAUCACAUUAAUCAGUAAAAGCUCCCAGUUGGUGAUGGCCCAAGUCUGGCAGAAAAACACAGGAGCGUGUAUCAGCCUGCUCAGGCUACCCAUGACAAAAUGCAGAUCAGCCAACUUCUUUCUGAUGAGGAUUGCCUUCCCUAUAUUCCUCGUUUCUAUCUGAGAUUUCACUAGAAUCAUCUUUAACAUCCAUAUUUAUCACUAACCUUCUUUUUUAUGGCAAUCAAGCCUUUUCCAGCAUGCACCUUAAAACUUUUCAAGCCUCUGCCCAUUACCCACUCCCAUGUUUUUAGCUAUUUGAUACAGCAGUACCCUACUUCUUGUUAUCAGAAUCUGUAUUUGUCAGCUCAAACUGCCCGGUGGCUUAAACAACAGAAAGGUGUUUUCUCACAGUUCUGGAGGCUUGAAUUCUGAGGUGGUGGUGCCAGCAUGAUCAGGUUCUAGAGAAAGCCCUCUUGUGUAGUGCCUGCUCCCUGUGUCCUCACGUGACAGAGAAAGAGAGCGAGCCCAGUGUCUCUUCCUCUUUUCACAAGGACACCAGUUCUAUGGGAUCAGCCACCUCCUUCUCACCAUCUUGUUGACUUCAUUUGAUCCCAAUCACUUCUUUAAAUGCUGCAUUUUAUUGUAGUCAAAUGGGGUUGGGGCUUCAACAUAUGAAUGGAGGGGGCACAGUUCAGUUCACAACGUGACAUCUAACCUUGAGCGUUAUAUAUCACAAUUCCUUAUUGGAAAUCCUUGGAACCAGAUGUGUCUAGAACUCAUCUUUUUGGCAAUAUUUAAGAAGGUCACUCAGUACUUCCUAAGGGGUCCGGAGUAGCACCUGUCAUCUAAUGAAUUAAAAUUUCAGCAGCCCAAUGUCCGACUAUUACAAGAGCAGGAUGAAUAAGGACUGCAAAUGGCCUUGGCAGCUCAGAUCAGGCAAAGCUUUGCUAUCACAUGCCUUACAAAACCCAGUAGGGAAAGCUUUUGGAUUAGGGAGUUGCAGACAGGAUCUGUGCAUGUGAGUAAGCAAAGGCCCUGGUGGGACUAAAUGCAUCCUCCAGGGAGUUGAAAAAGAGAUAAGCAGGCCCCUUUCCCAUUGUAUUGGCUCCCACUGAGUGUCCACUUAGAGCACCCCAGCACCUUAGGCACCACACUCCUUACUGCCCCUGUGGCAAUGUCCCAAAGAGUCAUCUUCUGAGCCUCUUUCCCACUUCCCCUCCCAGCUCCCAGGGGACCCUGGGUAGGAGCUGGCUACAGCAGUGCCGACACACAGCUUGGGUGCCGAGGGGGAUGGCCCAGCUGUCUCCUCACUCUGGAAAGCUGUGGAAAACCACUUCAAGGUGUUGAUUACCUCCCAGGGAGCUUCUCUUUCUUUUUUCCUCAAUCAAGAUUGAAUGAAUAUAUGGCAGUGUUGAUUUAAUAUUUGCUCUGCUUGAGAAAAUUGGGUUUCUUUAAGCAGGGGGUAGUUAGCCGGGUCCCAAUAGGGAGGAACUAUUCCUUCAGUGCUUUGCCUUGUGUUGAGUUUACAGAUAUCCCUGGGAGUAAUUAGCAUUUUUAGUUACCUAAGCAGCAGCAGCAUCAAAGAAAGUAUCACAAGAAUGUUGCUGUGUAUUUGGGGACCAGCAGGACCUGGGAGCUGAAUGACCUGGUAUCAGGAUAGACUAGUCCAGACUCUAUUUCCAGAUGAAGCCACAUCUGGCCAUAAGGUGUUUUGUAGAGCAAGUGAAACUAUAGAUCCAGCCAGCCAGCCCUUCAUGUAUACGUGGGCCAUCUAAUAAGGCAAGUUAAAAUAUUGGUGUUAGCUGGAUAUAGUGCGUAUACCUAUAAUCCCAGCUACUUGGGAGACUGAGGCAGGAAGACUGCAAAUUUGAUAGUAGCCUAGGCAACAUAACAAGACCCUGUUUCAAAAAUGUGUGUGUGUGUGUGUGUUAAAUUUAAUUCCUAUGACUGCUCCUCCUGCCCCCUCCACCAUACACACACUGACUAGAUUCUGCUGAGCCCUGUCUUGAUUGAUUAUAUCUUUAGAUUCCUGACUGGGUCCAACACUGACAAAGAUUCUCCUCUGUUGCCAGAAAAGUUUCAGGAAUCUUCUCUGGUGCACUGCUUUCUGGGUCAGAGAGACUUCUAGAAGGUUAUGAUGCUAUCCUUGUAAGCCCAAUUUAUCAUAAUCUCUGUUCAAAAAGAGGCCAAUGUACGGUGCUAUUUUUCUGCUCUGAUAGUCAAUGCCAAGGCAUCUCUGGGUGGGGGUCUUGGCUUCAAAGUCCUUCCUUAGGAGGGAGAAAGAUAAAUUUCCACAGGCCCAUCAGAGCUAUUUGGGUGCUGGCAAAACCCUCGAAAAACGCCACUCAGGUCAUUUGAGACAUUGUCUCCGGUCCCCACAGUUAGUCAUUCCCUGACUUUUAGAGCAAGCUAAGCCUCAGAGAUAAGUCUGGUAAAAAUAUCAUUUAGGAUUGAAAAAUCAGUUCAAGUCCUAUGUGCAAAUUCUUGAGGUGGCUGCAAAGAAGUAGGACACUGUCCAUGUGGUCAUGGUCAUCUAACUGGAGAACAGUCCUGUAGGGCUGUUCCAGCUGCAUCCCAAGCCUGGCAGCUCCUCACCCAGCUUCAGUUUGUUCGUCUGAUAAAUGGAAAUAACUCAUGCAGUUGCUAGAUAACCCUGCACGCUGCCUGGGCCUGGACCACACUGGGUAUGCUCAGAAUAUCCCUCCUCAUCACAUGCUGAGGAUGCUCAGGAUGGCACUCAGCGUCUUCCUGGAGCUGCUGGAACAAAUAAACCAGGUGACUUCAACCAAUAGACACUUCUUUUCUCCUAGUUUUGAAGGCCCACAACCCCAAAUCAAAGUGUCAGCAGGACUGCACUGUCUCUGAAGGGCCUGAGGAGGACAUUCUUUUUCUCUUCUAGCUUUGGUGGCCACACACAUUCAUCAGCGAUGGUGUGUCCCUCCAGUCUCCUCUGCCCUCCUCUUCUCUGUGUGCUCUGCCUAGUCUCUCUGCACAUCUGGAACAUUUGGACGAUCCAGGAUGAGCACCUUCUUUCAAGAUCCUGACUUCAUCACUUCUGCAGAGACCCUUCUCCCAAAUAAGGUGACAUUCGCAGGUUUCAGGAAUUAGAAUGUGGAAUUAGGGGGAGGCACCAUCCAGCUCACUACACUCAGUAAAUAGCACCUGUGACGACAAUGAUGGUGAUAACAAGUGUCACCUGUGAUUGUGAUAAUGGAGUUGAGACCAUGAUAACGAUGAUGAUGACAAUGUAAAACAAAAAAGCAGCAGAGGGGAGCCUGAGAUGGCACAAGUAUCAGGACCAGGCUCUGGCCUGACUCAUUGCCUGCCAUUCACUUGCGUUCACUCCUGCUUCUUCAGCUUUGCCCCUUGGGGCUUUCUACCCCCAAGACUAGUAGGUCAACUCCUAUCAGCCAGAAUGUAGAGGGACCGUGCUGUUCUGCAGGCCAGUGGCCUCCUGUGUGUUGUAGUUGGUCUACAGAAGUCCAACAGGCCCAUUUGAUCCAGCCAGGCCCAUGGCCAGCAGCUGAGAGGAUCUGUGGUGCUGCCCAGGAUCCAGCACUUUCAUCCAGCUGGCCACCAGCCACUGCCCAGGCUUUCAGGAGGACACCCUGCCAUCCAGGCCCUGGAGAGUCAGCGACUCCCUGAGGCUGUGGGUGGAACAGCUUUCCCUUCCAGCUGUGAACGCUGCUGUCCAGAUGGCCACUGCUUGGCGUAGGUUUGGUGCCUUGUUUGUUUAACAACUUCAGGGUGGGAAGAGCCAGCUUUUGGAUUUGGCAAGGCCCUUGGUGUGCAAAGUGAAAUCCCUGGCGGAGAGAAUGCAGCGGGGCGGGGGGGGGGGGGCUGCUGUGCAGCUAGUGAUCAGAUAGAGGCUUUUGGGCCCUCUGCCUGCUCAGGCCUGCAGGUGGUGUUGGGGGCGGCGAAGAUCAGCAAAACUCUUUUCUAUCUCCUUUACUAAUGAAGAUUUGGGGCUAGGCCUUCUCCUAGAACCCCCACGAGGUUGCUCAGAAUGAUGCUCAGUGUCCGUGUGCAUUCAGAGCCUCUGAGGAUCAGCUUGAAGUCCGAGUUGCUUUCUUAUCAAAGUUUACAUGGCACUGGAGGAGAUCUGCUCUCCGGUUCACUUGUUCAUUUCCCAUCCACAUAUCAAUGGAGGGGCAGUGGAUUUCUGGCCCAGAGUUUGGAGAUUUGGAGUCUAGUUCCAGUUCUGUCCUUAACUUUAAGGAAGUCAUUUAAACACCAAGUUUCAGAUGCCUCACCUGGACAAUGAGGUGGGGGAGAUCUUAACCCAGCCUGCUGCCCAUGCUUAGGAGAGGUGCAAAUGGCAUUUUCUCUCUUAGAGCUCUUUGGAAAUGAAUCAUCCCUACAAAACUGCACAGGAUUAAAUAUAGUUUUUAGAGAAAAUGAUAAUAAUGUGGGCAACUCCUAACUAAAGUGCUUUUGCAAUGAUAGUGAGUGGCUUUGAAAUGUCAAAGACAACAAUACUCAUAGAAUGUUAAAAGCCAGAAAUGACUGUAGGGCUGUCUUCAGCCAUGGGGUAUCUGGGCCUGACAUGCAUUCUUAGGGGGCAUUAGCUCAUGUUUUUGAAUCCAUGCUAACUGGUGUGUAGGAGGUGCUCCGGGAAAUGCUGAGUGACUCAGUGGUCACCUGGGUCCUCCUACUACAUCACUUGUAAGGAAGGAAACCUUGGAGUUGAAAUGAUACUGGGUGCUCCAUUUACACUCUGUAGGUGAUUCUUUCCUGAGUGUGUCAUGUUCUCCCCACCCCUGCAUUGGCUGUGCCCUUGGCCCAGAUGACAUCUAUGUAUAUAUUUAUUUAUGCACUGUUGUAUUUAUUUUUGCAUGUGUUAGAUUAUAUUUAUUCUUCAGAAUCUACCUUGAAUGUUGCUGGGUCCUCAGAGAAGCCUUUUCCAGCCUCUGAGGCUAAGUUGGUCCUCUGUUCCUACCUCCUCCAGUCCUAGGUGCUCCAUCAGGGCUGGGCUGGGAAGAGGAGAACUAGUCACAAAAACUCGGGUUAAAUAACUUCAAAAGUUAUUUGAAGGCCCAUAGUCACAAAACCCAUCAAGGUUAAUGAUAUUUCAGUGGCAUAUUUUUUUAAAAAUCACAGUAAAUGCCAACAAAUCUACAUGGAACCUAAUAUAGAUAUCUAUUAAAAUACAGACCCGCUCUCACCCUACAGUUGAAUGACUCAGCCUCACCUCCACAUAUCCCAGCCCUGUCCGUGGACCUGUCUUUAUCUAAAAUGUUGAUAUUUUGCUCAUCAUGCAUUUUUGCAUUGACUUUGAUUUAGUAAAAGGCUGAUUUAAGAUAUUGGUUAUCUUGGUGACUGAGUUGUUUUUUUGUUGUUGUUGUUUUGUUUUGUUUUUCCUGUGUUUCUUCUAUUUUGUGCCCAAGGCUCCUUCUGACUUGCUUCUUGGCAUAUACUCCCUUAGGUGCUUAUUUAUUUUCAGGGUUUCCCGUGAGCUCUGAGGGCAGGGACAGCCACUUUAUAUUUGGGUGUAAUAAAGGUCUGACUGGGCCUCCUUGGCCAGCCCUUGUUUUCCCCUCCUCCUCCUCAUCUUGAGUACAGAAAUAGCUCUUCCUUGUGUCCUGCCCAGGCCAACCUCAAAAGCGUUUGGUGACGGCUGUGUAUUCUACGGAAGGUUCAAUGGGGGAGGCAGAGGAGCAUAACAUCUUUAAAAUUCUACCUUACGCAUCUUUUAAUUCUCUUCUCCAAAGUUCUUCACUCCCACCAGCUGUCCUAUCUCCCCCAUCCUUCUUUUCAUUCCUACAGCCUCUAAGAAAGAAAGAAAGAAAGAAAAGAAAAAACCCAGCAUUCCAGUUUCUGUCCUCAGCUUGUACACCCACUGAGCAAAACAAAUGCCCAACCAUUUAUCCUGGAGAUUUCAAGUCUUAAAUCUUAUUCCUUAAGGGGGAAGUGUUUUAGUCAGCUUUUUCACUGCUGUGACUAAAAGACCUAACCAGAAAAAUUGUAGAGGAGAAAAAGUUAUUUGAAGAGUCAUAGUUUCAGAGGUCUCAGUCCAUUCCUCGGGCUCAAGGUGAGGCAGGACAUCAUGGCCAAAAAAUGUGGCAGAGAGAAGCAGCUUACAUCUUGAUCAGAAAGCAGAGAGAGAGUCCACUCUCCAGACAAAUAUAUACCCAAAGCUAAGCCCCAAUCCCUACCUCCUCCAGCCACACCCUACCACGUUAGUUCCCACUCAGUUAAUCCCUAUCGGGGGAUUAAAUCACAGAUUGGGUUAAGACCCUUACAGUCCAAUCAUUUUUCCUCUGAACCUUCUUACACCAUCUCACACAUGAGCUUAGGGGACACCUCACAUCCAAACCAUAACAGGAUGGAGAUUGUGGGAGGUGGUCUUGGUGAAUCACCACCCAGGGAUGCAGCGCUGCCUCUUAGAGGGGCUCAGUGAGUGACUGAUAAAUGAAUGGAUUCAUGAAGAAAGGAAGGAGGCCUAGGUACAGGAAGUGGGGGACCAGGGGAGGAACUUAUAACAUUUCUUUCAGGAGAUAUUCGAGGGGCUUAGGCAACUUGCAAUGGUAUCCUUACUGCUUUCUAUCAGCAAUACAUAAAUUCAUGAGAAGCCUAUCCUAUAGCCAUAUGAAGAAUUUUCUGUGCCCCUCACCCUUUCUGUUCACUGCUUUUCCUAGUUCUAGGUACCUUUACCCAUAAGCACUGGCCAACAGGGACAACUAAAAGAACCUGAAUGAGCCCAUCCUAUGCUAGGGACAGAGUGUUCAGCUCACCUUUUGAAGGCUCUGUGAUUUUCUUGGUGGCCCACGAGGGUUCUGUGUCGUCGAUGCAUCCUUGACUCUCAGGCCACAGAGUUCCUACUUUCUUGCAUAGAGAUUCCAGAACCAGACUUGGCUGUAGCCAAGACCUGCUCCCAGUCUGUGAGGGGUCAAGGAGUCUGGUCCUUCAUGAAGUAUGACCCAGGCAUUCUAAGUGUUGUCAGGCAGUAAGUAGAAGCAGUUCACAGUAGGAAGCUUAGAAAUAAGAAUAGAAGGAAAAUGAAAAGUCACCUGGAAUCUUGCCCCAGGAGAUAACCUCAGCUAGGCAGCUCCUCACAUUCUCUUUAGGCUUUCUUCCAUGUCUCUUUGCAGAAAGUGGUGAUUUUGCAAGAGGAAAGAGCCUAUUGCUUGCUCUGCUUCCGAUGUAGCCCUCUAGCACUGAACCAGGAGGCUGGGGCAGGGACACAUUGGCAUGAAACCUCUGCAGCUGCCCCCUUGAGUAUAGAGAGGCCUGUGAGAUCCCUGUUCCAAGUCAAGGAGCCUGGGGACUUGAUGCUGGCAGGAUGCUCUGGGUAGUGGCCUUGUGCCUCCAGGGCCUUAGCCCAGGAUGCAAGUCUUCGCCUCCUUCCUUAUUCCUUUACAUCACCUCUCACCAGGCGGGAGGUGCUGAUGUCAGUUGUGGACACAGGUUUUAUUAGGCUGUGACUCUGUUUUGGUAACACUGGAAGAAAGAGAGAGAGAAGCAGCACCGAGUGUCCACUAAGGGCUAACAGCUUUCCACACAUAACUGCAUGUGCUCCUCACAACUUAUGAUGUGGAUCAUGUUCCCCAUAUUAUAGAUGAGGAAACCAAGGCUGGGGAAGUCAAGCAGCUGCCUCAGGGUGACACAAGAAGUACCUGCAGUCCUGUGUGGGUGCACCUUCAGAGGUUUGUCAUCUUACUGUGGUUUGUGGCAGGGCUGGAGGUCAAAAAGGGUUUGCCUUUGCUUGUGGUGUUUCCUUUCUCUCAGCAGUGAAGAACACUCCUGAUCAUUGAUGUGCUUUGGGGUUUGAUGUUGUUUAUUGCACACAAGGCUGCUGGUUUUCAUUGACUCAUUCCACAGAUAUUUGUAAUGUGCUCCAAGCACUGAGCUGUCAUUAGUGAUAGGAAGUGAGGUAAUCCUUCAAUGAAUUUGUGUUUUGGUGGAGUAGAAAGAUAUGUACACAACCCUUGUCUUUCACAUGGUAAGUGCAGUGGUAGAGUGUAGGAGAGGAAUACAGAACCAUCUAAAGAAAGUGGAUGUGGGGCAGGCUAGGGGAUCACAUCCCAGAGGAAGCACUUUUUGAUCUGAGUUUUGAAGGCAGAGAGGUGUGAAGCAGAGUGUCUAGGAAACCACACAAAGUUCAUGAUGGCUGAAAUUGAGGGGGCAGAAGGCAGCCUGGAUGUCUUAGGAGUGCCUGAUUAGAAAGGAAACUGAGUGAUAACACUAAGGUGUCCAAUGGCAGUAAUCCCCCCUCAUCUGUGCUUUUGUGUUUUGUUGUUCAUUACCUUCAGUCACCUGCAGUGGGAAAAUAUUAAAUGGAAAAUUCCAGAAAUAAACAAUGCAUGAGUUUUAAAUUGCACAUCAUUCUGAGAAGCAGGACAAAAUCUCAUGCUGUCUGUUGUUUCCCACCCAGGACGUGAAUCAUCUGGUUGUCCAGUGUACCCACACAGUUUACACCACCUGCCCGUCAGUCCCCUGUUGGUUGUGUGACCAGAUCCACUGUUGCAGUAUUGCUUGCUUACUUGUGUUCUAAGAGUAGUGACGCCAGCAAUUCAAAUGAGUGAACACAGUAAAAGACAUCUUGAGAGAAAGAGAGAUCACAUUCACAUAGCUUUUAUUAGUGUAUUUUACUUGUUUUAUCUUAAUAUUAGUUAUAUGUUGAUCUCUCACUAUAAAAACUAAUUUAUAAAUUAAACUUUAUCAUAGGUAUAUUGGUAUAGAGAAAAAAACAGUACACACCUGCACAUACACACACGAGAGAGAGAGAGAGAGAGAGAGUUCAGUACCUUCAUAGUCUUAAGCAUCCACCGGGAAUCUUGGAAUGAAUCCCCUGUGGGUAAGAGGAGAUGUUUGUGGUCCCAGAGCUUGGGGAGCUACUGAAGGAUUUUAAGGAUCAGCUCCACAUGAUAGAAAGACCACCCUUUGGUUUCUGAGUGCAGGAUGGCGUGGGUGGGACAGACAAAGAAGAGUCCACUGCAGUGGAGAAGUGAUUUGUCCUGGGACAGCUGGGCAGAGGCCAUGGGCACAGAUGUGAGGAGGCAAGAUGUGAGAAAGAGCAAGAGGAGGACUCCGUGCUAUGAGAAGGGGAGUUGGGCCCAGAGGGAGCAGCAGAGUAAGAAAACAAAGGCCAUACCUGCUUGUGGACUGAGGCCAGCAGUGCAUGGUGGGGCCUUUCAGGAAAUGGGGGACAGAGGGAGAGGUGAGGCCUUGGAGGGAGUUUGCAUAGGCGAGGGCUGGUAGACCAGUUGGAGGAGGAUGAGCAUGAAGGACAUGUGAGUGGAGGGAUGGUUCUAGGUGUAAACUGUGAGGACUGUGCUUUAUCCCACAACCCUUUUCCCUUCCUAUGUCUCUGCUCCCUCCCCCCAGUCUCGUGCUGCCAGUCCUUUCAGUUAGGUGGCCCCUGCCUUAUCCCUUUGUGCACUUUGCUCGGGCCUGGGAGGCACACGCCCUGCAAGGCCCUGCUGUUAUUCCCAGGAAGGUAGUUUUGCAUCUUUCCAUUUUACAGACUGAGGCAAAAUGUGUAAGCUCUUCUACAUGUUUUGUCCAUUGAGGGAUGGGCAUUUUCUGACCAGAGAGAAGAAGGGAAGUGGGGGGUAUUGUAAGUUGGCCAAGACUGGCCUUGUUUUAGCAUUGGAAGUCCCACAUCCCAAUAAAUUCUUUAGGCAAGCUGGUCACCUUAGACUUUGUGGGGAAAGGGGGUGGGGGGGAAUCUUCCUGAAGAACCAGGAGUGCUCUGAGCUUCGACUCCCAUCUCCCAGGGGUGCUACCUUGCUACAGGUUCCCAAUCCCUUUGUCCCUGGGACACAGUUGCCGGGUUUUAUAGAGGCUGCCUCUGGCUGUGUCCUAGCGGGGGACAGGCCUGCAUGUUAAGAGACCUGAGUCCCAGUCUCCAGGGAUUGAGCACAUAAUGGAUCCACCACAUUUAUCCAGCAACCUAGGUUUCACAAGGAAAAGGGGUGAAGUGGAAGCCUGAAUAAGUCUUUCCCCUGACCUCUUCAACAGCUGACCUCUAGCCAUACACACAGGUGUCUCUACUUACAAUCCCUUCUGCAGACCCAGACCUGAUGGCUUCCUGUUUUAUUUAGAAAAUCCAAUACGCAUUCUAACUUCCCAAAGCCCACACUCUGCACAGGGCUGCCAGUGCCCGGAGCAGCUUUGAUGUCACACAUUUGCAUCUGGGAACAUAACUCUCGUCCUCUCUUGCAUUCAGAAACCAUGGGGAUGAUGAGCAGAUGUUUUUCUAAUAAUGAGAAGAUGUGCAGGCGCCGACACACGAGAAUAGUUUCCAGUCCGUAAGUUAAUUAGCAAGCUGGGGAGCCCAGAUAAAUAAAGCUCUCUGUUUCCUUUCCUGCAGUUUAAAAUAUCAAAUCUGGAGGUUCCCUCCCUGCUCUCUCCUCCACCCCAAGCAUCAGGAUUUGAGGGGAAGCAUUUAGAUACUUGGUAAUUGGCGCGCAUGGAACUGGCUUCCUGGCAGCCACAGGGCCUGUGUGCCUACAGAAGCGCCAGCUCAACCUAGAGUCAAUUCUCAGUUUAUCAUUGGUUGAUUUUCUAUCUCCACCCCACCCCUAGCCUUGCCUUAGUUGUUCUUCAUUUUUACUUUCUUGAGAGCUUUCUAGCGGCGUUACUGGGAUAGAGAAGAGGUGGGAGUUAUGGGGCUUUGGUGCCAAGUCCUCUGGGAGCACUUUUUUUUGUCUCCUACAAUCGUUAAGCAGCUCCAUUUUAGGGGCAUUGUUGCCUUUCCCCAUUGUACAGAUGGCAAAACCAAGGCUCAGACAAGCAACUUCAGCUGUCCCCAAAUCUUCUCCUUUUUGAAAAGUCCUAAAUAAGACCCAUACCUGGUUAGGGACUUCUCAUGGGACCCUUGCACAGAGAGGAACUUCCCCUUGGACAACAAUUGGCUGUUUGGAGAUCUAAGAGGUCAGCCUCCAACUCUGGGAGUCCACUUUGCCUCCUCCUCCUCAUCCCAUCUCACUUCUAAAAUUCUGCCCUAAUGCUCUUCCCUGUUCCCCCUGAGAAACGGUCAAAAAGUGUUUCCAAGCAGGUUGAAUGAUCUUCUCUAGAAGUCAAAGAGAAAGAAAGCCUGAGAAAUUCUCGAUACUUAUUCCAGCCCAGAAGAGCCCGUGUUUCUUCUAUAAAAAUAUAAUCCUCUGAAUUUGAGACUUGGAGUUGAAUGAGUGUGUUCCCCUGGUGGAUGGUGUGUUUACUGAAAAUCUGUGUCUGUUGCUAACCAUGCUUUGAAACAAGAGACAUGUGUUUUUAAUAGAAUUGCAAGUUUUAUGCCUUGUUAAAAAUACCCACAUGGACGCUGGCUUGGAGGAUGCAGGCGGGAUGUUGCAGAGGGGCCAUGAAUUCCAUUCCCAGCCUGCUGGGACCCGGGAGAGGAAGCAGGGAAGGAUGGCCUGUGCCCUUGCAGUAUUGGAUUCUGUGGAGCCUCCCUGUUUUCUUUUGGAAGUGACCACUGGCCGCCAGCUGGCCUUCUCAGCCCCACCCGACGUGGAACAGCAACGGGUUUUCUCCUCCCCAAGUGGAAAGGACAAGGGACUCAGUUUUUUGCUUCCAGAGCAGCUUUUGCCCUAAUUGCGAAGAGCGUCCAUUGGAUUUUGUGGAAAGCCUGAAUAACAGGGUGCUUUAAAGGAAAUGCAGCCCUUAUGACUUAAAGGAGCAGGGGUAAGAGCCACACCCCACACAAGAUGACUGGUAAUACUCAUGGUCCCCAACAUAGUGCCUGUCCCCAAAGGGAUGCCUCAAAGUCAUUCUUGGACUUCAGUUGUCAACACAAUAUGUGUUCUUUUUUUCUGAUUAUAGAAGAAAUAGCUAUAUAAAAAUGAAGUCGAUUUUCAUUAAUAAUUUUACACCCAUAGAUGCUGUUCAUUUCUAAGACAUUUCUUCUCAAUUUUUUCCCGUGUGUAUGUAUAUAUGUAAAUAGAAUGCUAACACAAUUGGGAUCAUACCAACAUAACGGUACGUUGUGUGCAUAUUCCAAUUUCACUAAGGAGACUUUAAAAUGUGUUUCUUAAAAAAAAAUGAAUAUGUAAUACUCCAUCCAGAGGGUACCCCACCCGUGAUUGAACUAGUCCUCUUUUUCUCAAGUGCUUUGAAUGCAGAUUUUUCCUAUUAUAGAAAAUAUUGUAAUAUUCUUCCCUUUACUCUUAAUUAUGUGAAAUGUUUCUUUUGUUUGAAGUAUCCUUGCUUUUUUUCCCAUGGUAAAUGAUGGAUGUAUUUUAGCAAUGAAAAUCAGGAGAACUUUCCUUACCCUAGUUAAGGAACCAUGUAUUGUUUUGUUAAGAGGGUCAGAUUUUAAAAUUAAAAUAGUGAGCGCAAAGGAGAGGAAGAAUAUUUGCACAUUCUCUUGCAUAACCUAGAUUGUAUUGUGUGAAUUGAGAAUACACGGUAGGUAUGUGCUACAUUCCCUCCCAGAGUUUACUGUCUGCCCCCAAAGAAGCCUGAUUUGUACACUAGUAAGAAUUAGAGAAUAAUACUACAAGGUAAAAGAACACUACAAGGUUUCCAACUUUGGUGGAUGAAUAUGUACUAAGAGAAGACUGAUAGGAGGAAAUCCUUGCAUUUUCUGGCACCAUUAAAGACUUCUGCAGAGAGAUGGGAUUUGUAGUUGAUCUUAAAGAAUAUCUGGGCUUUAGGAAGAUGGAAAACUACCUUGUAUUGAGCACCUACCAUGUGUUUUUUGCUUUAUAAAUAUCACCUCAUUUAUUCCCCGCAAUCGCCCUACCUAUUUAUUGUUAAAGACCAAUUAAACUCUUAGAAAAAUAUGGUGUUUAAUAAGAUUAUAGAUUUAUAAAGCAUAAAUUUGGAAAUAUUUGUGAGUACAAUGUGAUUGAAAUAGACACAGAAAGAUAAUUUUUUUUUUUUUAAAAAAGAAGAAAUCAGGGCAUAGGGAAAAUAUGAAUAGUAAGAACGAGAUAGAGACAAUGUAGGAUUUCUGCUGGUUUUGUUCACUGAUCCCACACAACCGGAUUGAUGACUGCAUGUAGUAGGUAUUAAUACAUAUUUGUGGCAUGAAAGAACAGAUGAAUGAAAGGGGUGGUCAAGAUGUUUGCCAUGUGGUCAUAUAUACAUUGCUGGUGGUUAGAUGCAUUUUUGACUUUGAGCUUUCUUAUAGUCAGCACAUAGGGUAACAUGUUCCAAAAUGACCUCAGUUUGUAAGUAAGGAACCGGUUUAACAGUGUGGAGACAGGAUUUAACCUGGUGGCAUGUGGGAGAAAGUGGGAUUGGAUUCCAAGGAGAGGGACAGCUACCGGCGGGGUUUGAAGGGGUGGCUGGGAAGUAUAGGAAAGCAGAGAAGUCUGUUUAGCACUUAGGCAUGUGGAGGGUGGGGAGCAGCCUCCUUUCUUGGGUAGAAAGCAGACUUAUUUAAAAGCAAAGUGGUCCCAUCAUUUCCUUCCCAGAUCUUUACCCUCUGUUAGGAACUAAAUGGUGCCCUGGCCCCUGCAAACUUCAUGUGCUAACUCACUAACACCCAGUCUGACUGUUCUGGAAGAUUAUGCCUUUAAGAAGGAAAUUCAGGUUAAAUGAGACAAGAAGGAUGGAGCCCUGGCCCAAAAGGAAGAGUCACUAAACACCUCUAUUUUUCCAAGCAUGCAUCUGUACAUAGAAGCAAAGCCCAGCACCUUGAUCUUGCACUUCCAGCCUCCAGAACUGAGAGCGAAUAAAUAUUUUCCCUGUUGUUCAAACCAUCCAAUCUGUGGUGUUUUUGUUAAGGCAGCCGAGCAAAUGAACACACCCUCUGCAGAAACACGGAAGACAGAUUCACACCGAGCUGUAGACUACUGGAAAUGUCACAUUUAGUCCCAGAAGCCCAAACAUCACAGAGUUGUUCAUUUUUUACAAGAGUCUUGAAACAGGAUCGAUUCCUUUUUCUGUUCCUGCAUAUCUGGGAGCUGCCUCAUCUCCUCUGCAGUAGUAACAGCAGCUCACGGAGGCCUUCAUUCUCAAAGGGAUGCAACAAUACCAGACUAAGGGUGGCAGGAAAGGCCAUGCCCAUGCAGAGUGGACUGAUGGAUCUCAGUCUCUUCAAUUUUGGUCUGGCAUUUUCCACUCUAUCUUUUGCAACCUUUUUAUCUAAAUCCCUAGCCCCUGGUGGCCCAUCCCUGCUCCACUCUGAUCACAGAUAUGACUCACCCACAAUUAUAAAUUCAAAUUGUAUAUCAUGGGAGUAGAUGGUAGGGGGACAACUAUGGUCACUGCAUACCCCUCACUUAUGGCAUCUGCUCCCAACCAUAAAUGCCCAUGGGAAACUGGUGUCCCUGGGGUGGGGCCACAUGGCAGGAGCCUGGGCGUUUGUUUUACUUUUGCUGUCUUCUGGGUUUGGUUUAUACUAUUCUUUUCCAUCUGGCUUCUAGAACCCCCAAAGCUAUUUUUAAAGCAAAAUUGUGGCUUCUGUUUUGACAUAAGAGGAAAGGCCGUCUCCAAAGAUCAUUCAUUAUUUGUUGGUAAAGUUUGUACAGCAUGUGCCCUGAUCGAUUCAGGGGAGUAGGACUCACCAAGUCUACAUCACACGUCUGCUAGAAUUGUGCAACACCAUGGACCUGAAUCUGGACUUAUGACCCUGUAUCGGGUCAGGGUCAGUUUAGGGUCACCCAUAGCCCAGGCCUAAUCUCAUGCUGUUUUUAUAAAUCAUUAAGAAAAGUCCCCAGCUUUAGUCUUCUCCUUUCAACUCCUGUUCUAAACCUCUUCGAGCCUCAACUUCCUCAUCCUUAAAGAAUUGAGUAGAGCCCCACCCUAUCAGGUCAUUGUGGGGACCCAUGUGCAAAGCACCUAGUAUAGCAUUUGGCAUGCAGCAAGUUGUCAUUUGUAAUUUUUUUAAAAGUGCAAAUUUCCACAAGUUCCAGUGAUACCAUCUGAGAAUAAAUGAGAUUUGAGGAGUGCUUUUGAUCUGCUGAGUGUCUUUGAGAUGCCUCCAAGUCUUAGUAUUCAGGCCAGGGUCAGAACUCUCAAGGCUUGUCCAGAUGCCAGGUCCAUCCAUGCAGGAUGCUCAUCAGUGAAUGGAUCUUGGUAGGAGAAUCUGGGCUGCCCUUUUGCUAAAACAAAACCAGAAAAGCUUAUCUCUUGUGGCUUUGCACUAGAAUAUGCAAUCCAACCUAAUUAAAGAGCAGAGGGUACACAUGCAUACCACUAAACCAGAAAAUGUACUAUAAUCUGAGCUACUGUGCGUGUGUGUGUUUGUGAGUGUGUGUGUGUGCGCGCGCUAGAGGAUAGAAAGGAGGGCUUAAAAUAGAGUAGAGGAUCCAUUUUUCCUGGAGUGAGGUUUUCAAUGAGAUUUUGCAUAGAGAACUGUAUUAGUCAGUUUUGCAUUACUACAACAAAAUACCCAAGGCAACUAACUUAAUAAAAAGAAAUGGUUUACUUAUGUUUUUGGAGGUUCAGUUCCAAGAUGGAGUGGCCCAAUUGGUUUGGGCCUCUGGCAAGUAUGCCAAAUGGCAAUGGCAAGGUUCACAUCAAAGCAAAUAGUCACAUAUCAAGCCAUAGUGUAGAGAUAGAAAGAAUGGGGUCCUAUAAUCCCCACUGAGGUCAUGCCCCCAGGGACCUAAGGACCUCCCAUUAGCUUUCAUGUCUUAAAACUCUACAGCAUCUCCCAAUGAGGACACUCCCCAAGUCAAACCACAGCCAGACCCCAGAGCAGAAGCAAACCUGUGCUUGAUUGUGUCUACCUGCCCUACACCGAGGGGACCCUAAAAGACACACACAAACCACAGUAUAUGCAGGGAGCCUAGGGUGAAGUUUUCAUGAAGCUUUCCUAAGAGCUCUCCACCUCCAUGCCCCUCCUCACAGGGAGGUAGAGGACCCAGGUCACUUCUUAUCUGUGACUUAUCUGAGGGUGUCUGACUGCAGACCUCACCAAUUCCUCUUUGAAUCUGAAUCCUAUGUACAAGUCUCAGGGCUCUCAUGUAAAACAAGAUGGUUGACCCCUGUGAGCUUAGGGCGACCCCAAGUUUCAUCAGCCAGGCACAUUCUCGGUGUACCCUGUGGCUGAGGCAGCAUGGGGGCAUCCACAGUAGCCUUGCAGGCUUUUCUUGGUGGAUUAAACCAGUGCUCUCUCCAGUCCCCAGCCCAAGCACUGGCUGCAAGUCUCAAGGGCACCAGCCUCAGAAGGAGGAGAUCUUUGCCCUUUGUAUCUCUUAAAAAUAGAAUAACAAAUAGACAACCCAUGGAAAAUUUGUGUCUUGAAGUCAGUAAUUAACUUGGGUUCUUGAGAAAUUGUACAUGUCAACUCAAAGGAGAAAAGUUGGCAGUGAGCCGAGACCAAGGCUGUGGGUGAUCAGAAGUGUGGUGUCUUGGUUCAGAAUGCAGGUUCCCAGCCUGUCCUGGAUGUGGGAAGGCCCUGGGGACUUGCAGGGAUCAGCAUAAGAACACAGAGCCCGGAGAAGUACUUGCAGUCAAGUGGAGUGGGCGGGGCAUGUACACAGACAACGGGGUUAGCCACGCCACAGUACAAUCCACCCCAAACUUAGUGGGUUAAGAGAAGAGUCAAUGUAUUGCUCGUGAUUCUUUGGGCCAGGAAUCUGGGCAAUAUUUGGCUAAGCAGUUUUCUGCUUCAUGUGGCAUUGACUUAAGUCCCUCGACAGGAUCCAACUUGUGUCUGGACUGGUCCAGAGGGUCCAGGAAGACUUUGCUCUCAGGUCAAAGGCUAAGCAAGGAGGAGCAGGAAGGCUGAGUAUAGCAGGCUUACUUUGUUGUGUGGCCAAGACUCUCUGUCUCUCUCUCUCUCUUUUUCUCCCUGUGGUCACAGGGCCUCUUCCUUUCCAUUGGGUCUCUCCAUCUGGUCUGUUUAGCCAGGUCACUAGAUUUUUGCAUGGCAGCUCAGCGCUCCCAAAAGAGAGGAAGAAACUGCUAAUCUUGUUAAAGGUGAGAAACACACUGGCAUAGUGUCCCUGCUGCCAUAUUUCAAUGAUGGAGCAGUCACAGAGCAGCUCAGGUUCAAAGAGGCCACCUCAAUAGGGAAGUGACAUGUGUGCACAGGAAGGAAAGGCAUUGCAACUGUCACCUUUGGGGAUGAGCUACUACAGGGAUCCUUUGGAAGAAUGGGAAAGAUUCAAAGCCCAGGGCCACUUCCAGGGUAGUCAAGGGCAAUGAAGCCACAGUGCCUUUGAUGGUGCAAGGGUAUCCGCCUACUACAGUACAAGAUCGGUAUUCCUCUGACUCCAGGAAUGAGAUAGAGCAACAUGAACUUCCCUUGCUUCCCAACCUGGACACAUUCAGCCCCAGAGUUACUUGCCAGCUUACUUCAUUUUCUCCCAGGGAAAGCAAUGAUUUUCAUCAGGAGUGUCACUCGAGUAUUGGUGGCUACCUGGAGCACAGUGUGGAAGAUUCUAAGGCCACAUCAAGCCUCAGUGCCGUGAUGUAUUGGCCAUGUCUCCCUGGGAUAUGGAAUUGAGGAGGGGCAUCACGUGUACCAUUCAGAUUUGUUCUAAGUCCAACCAUGCUAUACUCUUACCAGAAGGGAGACAGUUAUAUUUAUUGGCCCCCAAACUUGCCUUGUGAUUUCCCACAUUCUCCAUUUGCAUUUCCUCCUGUGAUUGCCUGCAGCCUGCCUGGCCUGCAAAGUCAGCCUACUCCUCCAAGCUUUGCAGAGCCACCCAGCUUCUAGAUUUCUAUAGCUUUAGGCUGAGUGACUUUCCACCAUUAGACACUACCAGCAUUGUUAAUUAUCUUUUCAUCUGCAUGCUACACAUUCCCAAUUAGGUUGUUGGAUAUUUGAAGUCAAAGACACAUCUUGAUACUCAUUCUUCCAACUCCAGGUAAGUCGGCUUUUCUCCUGAUAGUAAUGACUUGAACAUCAGAGGAAGUUUUGAAUAUAUGAAAUCUAUCCCUUCAGACAGGCGUCAGUGGUAGAAAUGGGUUUAUAUUCACAGGCUGGGCUCAAUAGGGCUUGCCUGGAUUGGAAAUAGGGUGAUCCUAUUGGGUCAGCGUCCCCCUGUAAUGGACCUGGCUGAGGUGGUUGGGCAGCCAGUGCUGAUGCUUUUGCAAUUCCUGAUGACAUGUCCAUGAGUUCACGUGUGUCCAGGACCCCACUGUUUCUAUUUCCUGUUGUUUGAAUUACCUGUCUGAAAAUGCUUGAGUCAAUAUCCUGGUAGAUGUUCAAAGACACCAGAGGGGGAAAUUGUGUGAUCAGGGAGAGGAGAGAGACUUUUGAAGGUCCUGUGGAAUGGGAAAGACUGCUUCUUUCUGUCUCUGGAGGGUUGUAGUUUAUUGGGUGCUUAUACUCCUAAAUCUGGAACUCAAGAAAGCGGAUUUGGCAGAAUUCCUUUGAAUCAUCUGUUUCUGUAUUUGGGUUCAACACUUGGAGCAUAUAAAACCCCUGGAGAGAAAUAUGAAGAAACACAUCAAAACUUAUGUUUCUUUAUUCCUAAUAAUUAAAAUGCCUGACUCUGUGGAACCUGGUAGACCCAUGGUGGGGGGGCGGGCAAGGAAGAAGAAUCAACAUCCAGGUGGGGGCAGGCCUCUCAGACACCCGUUUUCUGUGUGUUGCUCUCAGGUCCCUAUAGAGAAGGACUUGAUAGCAUUGCUGCAACAUGAAAUUGGUUCUUCCCUGGAGAUGUACAUGGCUGACAUGGCUGGGUAGGGUCAGCACUUUGGAUGCUCUAUGUCAUGUUUCUUCCUGGUCCUAUGACUCUAUGGGUCACCUGAUGUCCCCAUUGAAUCACUAGUGCACAUUCAGGAACCAAAUAGAAUCAGGAUAUGUUUUAUGAUCAUGACGAUACAGAGACAAUCAAUGUUAUUCACAAACAUCAGAAGCUGGAUGACAUCUUACAAUGUAUUCAGAAUCAUCCGAGGAAGAUGAAAUUAUAUGUAGCCCAGCCAUAAUGCUGAAUGAAUUUCAUUUUUGAUAAUAGGUCAUUCAAAGAUGUUUACUAGAAAUGCCACUUAGAGAAUCUGCUCACCAAUCACUAAGAACAGCAAUAACAGGUCUAAUUUGUUGUGUUCCCUUGUUGAGUGUUCGCAGACAUUGUGGUCACGUGUUUUCUGUAACUGUGAUCUCAUUUUAUCAUUCUGGGUUAAUGGGAGCUUCUAAUGCCACCAUUAAGACAUAAACAACAUAAGAGGGAUGCUUCCUUCAUCAUUAGUUUAGUAGGUUUGUGUGAAUUUAAUUAAUUCAUUCCUGAAAAAGGAGAUUCCUGACUUUGAUACAGAAAGCAUUGACUGGAUCAUCCCACAUUUUCCUGGCAAAGGCUAGGAAAAGCAAGAACUUUUCCCAGCAAGGGCUCUUCAUUCUUGUUUCCAACCCAUGAUCUCUCAUGAGCUUGGGGACUGAGAGCAUACGCAUUUGGCCCAUCUUCUCCCCACGCUGACUUCUCCUCUAACUUCAUUCAAUUUUAACAUAAAGCAAGAUAGAACUAACACCUCCCCUCUCUCUCGUGAAGAUGUACUUUGCACUGCUUAGAAGGAGUCAUUUGUGAAUUUACAGUUACUGAAUGCUUAUUCACAUUUAACCAUCUGUUUAAAAAAAAAGUAUCCAUGAUUUGUUUUAGUCGAGUGUGACAGAUGUGACUGUCAUGAAGGAAGAAGUUUACAAUAUAUAUAUAUAUGUGUUUACUUAUUUAUUUUUUGCAGUGCUGUGGAUUGAACUAGGGCCUUACAAAUGCUACGCAAGCACUGGCCCUGGGAAGAAGUUUCUACUUAAUAGGUUUUCUAGAAACAGGAGGCACAGCAUGCAGGAUUGCAUGGGGGAAGCAUCAGGGUUGGUCAGGAAGCAAAAGGAGAAAAUGUGGGUCAAAGUCUUUCUGUGGUUUCCAAGGGAAGGAAUGGGCAAGGCAGGAAAUGGGUUUGUGUUGGUUGGUUUGAAUAAAUUCAGUGGGCUCUGGGGUAUAGGGUCUGUCUCUAGUUGUCUCUCCCUGACUGUGGGGUAAUUAGGACAGGAGGUGACUGUGUCAGAGAGUUCAAUAAAGGUGGUAGCUGAUGGUGAGGAGGGACAUGGCCCCUUGAUUGAUCAGGUUGCCUAUGAAAGGUGUGCUGAAGGCAAGUGGCUUGCUGAGGACUGGUUAGACCUGGAAGGAAGAGUCUCUCCAGUCAGCAAGGCCCCAGAUGCCAGAAAAUCAAGAAUACAGAGAAGAAGAAAACAAGUUAAUAUACUAUCCUUUCAAAUAUUUACCCAAAGACAGUAAAAGUGUAUCGAGUGCCAAGUAUGGUCUGGCCUUGCAAUUCUAGUUCCAGUCCUGGGCUCGAAGGAGGCUCUCAGGGAGAGCUUAGUGCUGAAUGCAUGUUCCACACACCUGGCUUGACCACAGAGCUGUGCCUGAAACACUGGCUCUACCUUCAAGGAGCAUGUGGCCCAUUCUGAGAAAGAGAUGCACAAAUAUAUUUAUUAUAACUUGGAUAACUGCCAUUAAAAAAAAGAAAAACCCAAACCUAUCAUUAUUACCACCUUGGGUCCUAUUAGAAUGGCCUUUGGUUCUACCUACAGCAGGUAAGUGAUCAUCACUCCUCAUUGUCCCUGCUUCUCUCCUUAACCCCCAAACCAUCAAGUCUGGGACCUUUUGCCAUGGCCAAGUUUGUCACUACUUCCCCAUCUCUACUGGCUGUUCAGAAAGAAAGAGAUGGCCUCCCCUCUGCCCCGCAGCCUGGUUAGACAGGAUGCCCAUCCCUCUUGUCCUUUGUUAGUCUGCAGAGCCCUGAGCGCUAAUCCACAGCAGCUGUGCACCAGGCGCUUGUGGGCAUCGGGGAGGGGAGCGGUGUGGGAGGGGUGCCUGGCAGGGUAAGGCUGGAGCCCUCCCAGGGGCUGAACCACCCACAGAGCCUCUUUUCAAAUGCUCUCUUGUCCCUAGAAACGGCUGUCUCUGGAAGAGGCCAGGAGCCAGCACAAGGCCCAGAGACAAUCUUGAGGUAGACCAUUUGUCUCAGGCCCCUCCCGCCGCCUCUUGUGUGUGUCUUCUCCUAAUUUCCCUUCUGGGCCUUCCAAAGGGGUCUGGUGCAUGCUGACUGUGCUGUCAGCCGUUCCGGAUAACUCAUUCACAUUAGUGGAAUUUAAAGGUCACUCUUCCCAAUGGUAUUUGUGCCAGAAAAGAGCCUAAGAAGGAGGUCACAGCGCAUAAGCAUAAAGAAAUGACUUUCUAAUGGGGAUGGCUGAGCUGGGAAUUAGCUGAUGCAAAGAGGAUGUGUGUGUGUGUGUGUGUGUGUGUGUGUGUGUGUGUGAGCACGCGUACGUACAUGCUCGCAAGCCCCAGAUCAUCAGAAUCUGUUCCUCCACCUUUCCAGCCAGGGAUGCGGAGAACAAACUGGGGCAGGAGCCCUACCUGGGGCAAGGAGAUCAGGUAACUGGAAGCUCCAGCUCAGCCUCCAAGGCCUGUGUCUGCAGGCUCUGAUUGGAGGCUGGGAGGCCUCAGGGGAAGGUGUCUCACUGAGUCUGCUCUAGUUGCCACAACCAAGGACCACGGACAACAUGCUUCACAGAAACCUGUUUUCUCACAGUUUCAGAGAUUCAAAAUCAAGGUGCUGGCAGGGUCGGCCGCUUCUGAGGCCUCUCCGUGGCUCUCAGAUGGCACCUUCACACCGUGUCCUCACAUUGUUCCUUCCCCAUGUGUGAACAGCUUUUCGUGCCAGAUUUCCCCUUCUUCUAAGGACAGCAGUCAGACUGGAUUGGGGUGCACCCACCAGCCUCAUUUUAACUGAAUCUCUUCUUUAAAGGUACCAUCUCCAAAUACAGCCACAUUUUGAGGUACUGGGGGUUAGAGUUUCAACAUAUAAGGGUUUUGGGGGGGGCAGGGGUGGGGGUCACACAAUUCAACCUAUAAAUGAAGGAUAGCAUAUGGUGGGAACUCAGAGCUGCAGUUCUCAAAAAAUGCUUGUUUUAGUUAGCUUUUUUGUUUCUGUGACCAAAAUACCAACAAGAACAACUUAGAAGAGGAAAAGUUUAUUUUGGUUCAUGGUGUUCAGAUGUUCAGUCCUUGGUUGACCAACUCCACAGCUCUGGGCUCAAGGGGAGGCAGAACAUCAUGGCGGAAGGGCGUGGCAACCAGGAAGCAAAGAGAGUGCUCUGCUCACUAGGGACAAAAUAUAAACCCCAGAUUCACCUCCUAGCCCAUGAUCUACUUCCUCCAGCCAUACCCCACCUGCCUACAAUUACCACCUAGUUAAUCCAUAUCAGUGGAUUAAUCCACUGAUUAGGUUACCUGUCUCCUAAUUUGAUUAUUUUUCAUCUCUGAACAUUGUUGCAUUGUCUUGCACCUGAGUCUUUGGGGAACAACUCAUAUCUAAACCAUAACAAUGUUCCAGUGGCUAAGAGUUGGUAAGCUAGGGGCGUUGAUUCAAUAAUAGUUGAAUCAUUGGAUUCCAUUAUAAGAACUAGGAACAACUUUAAUAGCAGAAAAUAGGAUGCUGUGUUAAGUGUGCAAUCUCAGAUUCCAGUGAGCAAAAUAGGCACAGGGAGAGGAAAACUGUUGAACUAAGCAGACUUGCGGUUUUGAAUUUUUGCUACAAUAUUUGCUUACUUGCACAGUUAUUUUUUCAUCCAUGGCACUUGCUGACAAAACAAUAGCAGGUGCCACAGAUUUUAAAAGUUUCUGAGAGAAAAACCUGAAACAGACAAAAUGCCAAGCUUGUAUUAAAUAAAUUCUGUGUAUUUGGGGAAACUCACUAUUAUUCAGUUUUAGUAACGGGUCUAUCAUCGGUGUUCUAAAAGAACAUAGUUUGAGAAUCAUGAUGGAAAGCAAGGUCCUAUCUUCUAAAAUCUAAAAAGUAAUAUUUUUUUUCUCUCUUUUUGGUACUAGGGGUUGAACCCAGGGGUGCUCUACCACUGAGCCAUAUCCCUUGCCCUUUUUACUUUUAUUGUGAGGGUCUAAGUUGCCCAGGCUGGUCUUGAACUUGUGAUCCUCCUGCAUGACUAAGGCUACAGAUAUAUCCCACCUCACCUGGCCUCCGCAUCUGUUUUUUCAUUUAUUCAACAUAAUUGAUUUGAGUGUCUUCAAAAACGCAUACCACUCCUCCAGACAUUGGUGAGAGAGAAAGCAUGAGAUUCUGAUCCUUCCUUGAGACCCUGAAUUAUCAAUUCAGAAUUUUGGUUGAGGGGCUGGGCAAGUAGCUCAGGUGAUCGAGUGCUUGCCCAGUAUGUAUGAGCCUUGGGCCUGCCCCCCUGCACUGCAUAAAAAGAAAAGGAAAAAAAAAAUUGGUCACAAACCACAGAAUUCACUGCAGCUGGUUUAAGCCAAGGAGUAAUUUACUGAAGAGGCUCCAGCAGAGGAAGAACUAACUAGGAAGCAAAACAGCUGCUGUAGUUAGAUCUGAAAUGUCUCCCAAAGGCCUGUGUGUUAAACACUUGGUCCCCUGCCAGUGGUGAUAGAACCUUCAGGAGGCGGGGCCUAGUGGAAGGAAAUUGUGUCACUGGGGCUGUGCCCUUGGAAGGAAUAUUGGGACACUGGCCCCUUACUUUCUUUUUUACUUCCCAGUUGCCAUGAGGUGAACCAACUUUUGGGUCUGACUCACCACAGACCCAAAAGCAAUAGGCUAACCAACUGUGGACUGCAUCUUCUGAAACCAAGAGCCAAAAUAAACCUUUCCUCCCUUUACAUUGAUUUAUCUCAGGUAUUUUCUUACAGCAGUGGAAAGCUGACUCACAUAAAAGCAAAUGCAGGCAAAAGCACUGUUCUAGUGGAAACCUUCCUGAGCUCAUUGACGCCUAGCCAACAAUGUUUGAUGCUGAGUACAAGACAGCAUUUUAAGAUGUCUUAGUCUGUUUUUUGUUGCUAUAACAGAACACUUGAGAUUGGGUCAUUUAUAAAGAAAAUUUUAUUUUGGCUGGAUGGCCCUGGAGGUGCAAAAGCAUGGCUUCAACAUAUGCUUGCUUCUGGUAAGGGCCCCGUGCUGCUUCAACUCAGGCAAGAAAUUAGAAGGUAAGUAGGCAAGUGCAAAGAGAAGUCACAUGAUGAGAGAGGAAGCAAGAGAAAGCCAAGGUGGCCAACUGACUUUAUAUGAGUAUAUNNNNNNNNNNNNNNNNNNNNNNNNNNNNNNNAAGACAGCAUUUUAAGAUGUCUUAGUCUGUUUUUUGUUGCUAUAACAGAACACUUGAGAUUGGGUCAUUUAUAAAGAAAAUUUUAUUUUGGCUGGAUGGCCCUGGAGGUGCAAAAGCAUGGCUUCAACAUAUGCUUGCUUCUGGUAAGGGCCCCGUGCUGCUUCAACUCAGGCAAGAAAUUAGAAGGUAAGUAGGCAAGUGCAAAGAGAAGUCACAUGAUGAGAGAGGAAGCAAGAGAAAGCCAAGGUGGCCAACUAACUUUAUAUGAGUAUAUAUGUAUGAGCCUUGGGCCUGACCCCCUCCACUGAAUGGUAACUAAUCCAAUCCUAUGAGAGGGAGAACUCACUCACACAAAAUUGCAUUAAUAUUCACGGGAGCUCCACCCCCAUGACCCAAACACCUUCCUCUAGGCCCCACCUCCAACACUGCCAUCUUGAUGAAUUAAGCCUCAGUGAGUUUUGGUGGGGACAAACUAUAUUCAGACCAUAGCAAAGAUCCUUUGUUGCCCCUGUCUCAGAAAGUUGGAUACCUCCAGCCACCUUUGCCAAAAUGGCGUCCAAAGACAGCCACUGACUGCUUUGUGCCUUUCACUUCUGAUUGGCAGAGUCCAGGCCACAUGACUGUACCAUAGCUGCAAGAGAAGGCAGGAGAGCAAGUUUCUGACUUCUGUCUUAAAGAUCUAUGGGAUCAUAAGAUGGGAAAUUCUGCAAACAGAGUGGGGAAAUGCUAUUAUUGAUAACAUGCUUAGGCAUGGUGGGGACCAGGACAGGGACCGCUAACAGCAUGGGAUAAUGAGGGAAGACUUCCUGGAGGAGGUGAUUGAUGAUUGAGCUCAUGUUGAUGGAUAAACCAAAGGGGGACAUCUUGGAGUUAAAUUAGACCCCCCACUGUCUGACUAACAUGCCUCUACUGUGAGUGUGCCAAGUUCAGAAAAUGGGAACUGAUGAAGCAAGAAGAAAAGGCGGGUUGGAAUCUGCAUAUGUUUAUGGGGGACCCAUGUAGGAGCUCCCUGGAAAGUGCUCGGGGCAUCCUCUGCUGGACUACCUGAGCAACUGACUUGGGUUCUGUCUUUUUUCCUCCCAACUGUGCUCCCUUCAGGUGUCCUAAUAGGUUAUGGCUUCCAUUAGGAAGUGUGCAGUGUGUUUUCAGAAGGGCUUUUUGGAAAUACAAAACUUGACUCCAAAGGAGUGCUUCUGUUUUAUCUCUUCCUUCUUUUUGUUAUUUUUCUUUCUUUUUAAGUUAAGUGUAAAUGGAAAAUACAAAUCUAUCCAUAACUAGCACCUGUUUUAUACUUUAUCUUUUAAAAAGACCUCUAAUGCAAUCAAGUUAUGCCUACCAUUUUGUGAUUUUUUUUUUUCUGAUUUCUUUAUCUUAAAUUCCCUAAAAAGUGAGUCUUAGUAGCAGUUCUUUGAAAUUGUAUUUGGUCAAUAAAUACUUUUUUUCCCAUACUAGGGAUUGAUCCUAGGGUGCUCUACCUCUGAGCUGUACCCCCAAUCCUUUAUAUAUUUUUAUUUUGAGACUGGGUCUUGUUGAGUUGUUCAGGCUGGCCUCCAAGUUGUGAUCCUCCUGCCUCAGCCUCCUGAGUAGCUUGGAUUACAGGUGUGCACUGUGCUGCCCUGCUAGAAUGAUAAUAUGAGUCUGAGGUCUGAGGUUGGCUUAGAGAGUAGGAAUAGGGGCUAACCUUCCCCCUAAAUCUGUUUCUCAGGCUUGGUAAAUGCUAUCACUUUGUGAUUACCUUAAGUCACAGCCUUUGCUCCCCUCUCUUACCCCCUGGACAUCAGCAAGUCCACAGGCUCUGCUUGCAGUUCACCUGGAAUUUGUCUCCUCCUCCCCAAGUUCACUACCCCGUCCUUAUGCAGGGCCCCUGCCCCAGCCUGAACACUCCCCAUUACUGGUCUCCUUAAGGCCACUUCUCUCACUAUAGCCAAGUGAGACUUACAAACAGAAGCUUGUCUGUUGCAUCUGACUCCCCAGUGCUGGUUUCUCUUUGCUUUUAGACAAAACAAGGCCUUUCGCAAGGUGGCCCUGACCACAUUGUUUGGUGGUCCCCUCCCUCUCACUCUUGGCCAGCUAGCAGCCACAGGUGGCCUUCCAGCCUUGCCUCAGGCGUGCUGUGGGCUCUGACUAUUCCAUCCUCUGCUCUGCACAGCUGGGUUCUUCUUAGCUAUUAGGCCUCUGCUUAAAUGUCAUUUCCUCUGAGAGCAUCUCUCAUCUUUUGUCUAUAUAGUGCCCUGCCCUCCCCUAAACUGGUAUUUUCUUAUCGUAGCCCCCUGUUUAUUUCUCUUCUGGCAUUUAACACAAUUAUCCGUAUAUUUUUUGGUUUACUUAUUAUGUACCUCUGCUUCUAGAAUCUGUGUUCUGAGGAGGUGGAGAUCUUAUCAGCCUGUACCCACAGCAUCUGGCCUGAAAGUGCUCAGCAAGUAUUUCUGGAAGGAGCGAAGCAAUUCAGGACCUCCAAGCCCUCUGCCAGACCUCUCCCUGCUCCCCUUGGAGGGGGACUUUAGCUGGGGAGGUUACCACUGGCCUCUCAGAGUUCUCACAGGCUGCAACCCUCCCAACAGCAGACCCCAGGGUGUCCCCAGGCUCUGAGCUGCCCCUACCCCCUGCUCAGUGAUGGCAGCCAUGUUCAGAUGACCCACAUUUCAUCCAACCAUGUCUCAGCCAGCCUGUCUCACUGGAUGCUUCCCAGCUGUCUGGGUCUCCACUCCCUGCUGCGUGGGUAGUAGAGGUGAAGCAGGCUCUCCUGGGUCUUCCCUGCAGGUGUGUAAUGCAGUGGAAAGAGCACUGAACUUGGAGGCUGGGAUGCAGCUUUGGAGUUCCUUCCUCCCCUGAGCUAUAUAAAUUCAGGAAAUUCACUCUGUCCUGAGCCUCCCUUUCCUAAUUUACAGAAUGUUAGCUGAGGUCCCUGCUCUAGGUUAUCUUUCAGGGUUGCCAAAUUGAUGUUGGUGGCUGUCUGUGGCCAACUAUAAGUACGUAGUAGAGGCAUUGCCCAACAUGCCAUAGCUUCAUUUGGAAAGAGGAAGGUUAACUUGAACAUGAGGAAGCCAGAUCAAAAACAUUGCCUGGCAAGGAUGUGGGAGAAAAGGCACACUCAUACACUGCCGGUGGGCUGCAGAUUGGUGCAGCCAAUAUGGAAAGCAGUAUGGAGAAUCCUUGGAAAACUUGUAAUGGAACCACCAUUCGACCCAACUAUCCCACUCCUCGGUUUAUACCCAAAGAACAUAAAAUCAGCAUACUAUAGUGACACAGCCACAUCAAUGUUUAUAGCAGCUCAAUUCACAAUAUCUAAAAUAGGGAACCAACCUAGGUGCUCUACAACAGAUGAGUGGAUAAAGAAAAUGUGGUAUAUAUACAGUGGAAUGUUACUCAGCCAUAAAGAAGAGUGAAAUUAUGGCAUUUGCUGGUAAACAGAUGGGACUGGAGAUUAUCAUGCUGAGUGAAAUAAGCCAAUCCCUCAAAACCAAAGGCCGAAUGUUCUCUCUGAUAUGUGAAUGCUAACACACAAUGAGUGAGAUAGAAGUGCAUUGGAUUAGACACCGGGAAUGAAGGGAAGGGAUGGAAUAGGAAAGACAGCAGAAUGAAUCAGACAUAGCUUUCCUAUGUUCAUAUAUGAAUACAUGACCAGUGUAACUCCACAUCAUGUUCAACCACAAAAAUGGGAUCCUAAUUAGAAUAACUUAUACUCCAUGUAUGUAUAAUAUGUCAAAACACAUGUCUAUGUACAAAGAACACGUUUUUUAAAAAGAAAAAAAAAUGUUGCCUGAAAAAAGUUUUUAUUCCUUUCAGCAGAAGACUUCCCCAGGGGAAGACUGGGGGGUAGGCAGGGAAGGCUGGAUGCUGAGCCUGGGAGUGACCAUUCUGUAUAAGGCUUUGCCCUGCCCACUGCACUGUGGUCUGAAGCACAUGCUUGGUCCAGAAAGCUAUCUAUCAUUCAAAUAGUGAGGAGCCAAGGGAGGACUGCCUUGCAGAGGACAGGCGCUGAGUUGUGCAUUUUGGUGAGAUGUCUUUUGGGUCACUCUGAGAGUGCGGUUGGUUGAAAUUCUUUCCUGCAGUAACAUCUCCCACUGCAGAUACUCAGGCCAGCAUCCCAUGAUCAACUAGGAGGCAGUUACUGAAUGUCUAUGGGUCGAAGAAAUCUGAUUCCAUCUCUACCCCUACAGCAGGAUUUUUUUUUAACUUCAGUACUAGUAACAUUUUGGGUGGGAUAAUUCUUUGCUGUGGGGGCAGUGGACUGUCCUGUCCAUUUGGCAGCAUCUUCUGGCUUCCACCCACCAGGUACCAAUAGCACAGCAACCCCCGACUCCAUGAUUCUGAGAUACCUGAAUAUGCAUGCACACACACACACACACACAGACACAUGCUCAUGAUGACUGAAUACAUCUGCAGACAUUGCCCAAUGUCCCCUGGGAGCAAAAUCCAUGCCCUAUGCACACACCUCUUAAGAAAAACUGCCCUAACAGAAAUAAUAAACAGGAUAGGUACAAAGAAUUCAGAGGAGGAGGACAGGGAAGAGUACUUCAAGUACUUCAAGCUAAAUACAAAACACAAAUGCAUUUAUGCAAGUCAUCUGACUGCCCAAAUAUUGGAGAGCCUUGUUUCUGGACAUUCCUUGGGUGGGACAAAGAUUAUUGUGACCACAUUAAUAUGAUGCUUCUUUGUAGCAUUUAUCUAGCCUGGGAAAAUUCAGAGAUUUAUAUACUUCUUGGUUGCAAAGAUUAGUUUACCUUAACAAAGUCAUUGUCCAUGAAAUGAGACUGCAUUUGAUAAGGUGGUUGUUGUGGGGAUCAAGAUAGUGUAUGCAGCAGCCUCAGCCUCCAGUCCAUGGCAAUUUUUAUGAAUUCUUGCUUUAUUUCUAUAUCAUUUGGUAUUAUCUCAUACCUAUUAUGCAAUGUGCAUCUUCUCUGGUCUAUUUAGAUAUCUAAUUUGAUUUAUAUAUGCUAACAUGUAAUUAUAUAUAUUUAUAUAUUAAUAUAUAGCAUUAGGUCUUAUUUGAUGCUCACAAGCACCCUGCAAAAUAAGUGGCUUGACACCCAUUUUACAGAUGGAAAAGUGAGAUUUGCAAAGGUAUAGCAUCUUAUCAGGGUCACAUAGUCUGCACAGGUUAGAGAUGGUGUUUGGACUUGGCCUGUCCACCUACAGGAGCUGCUUUGGGCGCUGUACUGAAGGAGUGUGAGGUUAGAAGUUAGAGGUCUGUCCCCAGCUCUUUUCAUACCCCUAUCAAUGUAAGAGCAAUUGCUCUUCACCUGAGGGUUGCAUCUACAAAACAGAGAGGUCUGUUUUUAAUAGACAUGUCUUCACCCAAAGAGAUGCUAGAUUCGAAGUCGACAGAGGGUGUGUCUUGACACCCUUGGCACCUCCAGUGUCAUACCCAGAGGUGUUGGAUAAUAACUAUUUGCAGUUUGAUUUUCCUCGACUCCAGUGUACUUCUGGCAAGGUUUAGUGUUUGAGGAGGAGUGAAAACUCUUCAUUCCUCUUAAGGAAUGGAAAUUCUAUCUUACAUCUUAGCUGCAGGGAUGAAUUAUUUCUCAUUGUCCUCUAAUUUUAGACCCCACGAGGAGCAGCUGUUUAAAGAGUUGCUUGAGUCAGUAUCGGCAUUUUGUGCAUGCACCCUGCUCUUUCUGCAGGACCUGAUUGGAUCAGCAUGUGACUCUGACAUGAAGUGCAUCUCUCUUGAGUUGGGAUGCAGGAGAGGGGCAGCUCACUGCUCUGCUGAAGCCAAGGGAGAAAAAUCUAUUCCAGGAAAACAAAUUCUCAGUUUUUUGUGUGUGAGUGUGUGUGUGUGUGUGUGUGUGUGUGUUGUGAGAAAGGGGAUGGGAUUGGUGAAAAAUCUAUACCUGGGAGUCCUUACAUAUGAUAGACCUAGAGAAUCGGUAUUUGGGGGAAGGAGAGGUCCUCACACGAGUCAUAAAAUGAGAAAGUCUUCAGCUGUGUCAUGAUGUGGACCAUGAAGUUAUUUAUACUUGAAAAACAUUUUAGACCAUUCAAUGUGGGCUGGAGAUCUAGCUCAGAAGUAGAGCACUUGCCUAGAACACUUGAGGCCCUGGGUUUAAGCCCCAAUACUGCAAAACAAAAACAACAAAAAAUAUUCAAUGCAUGCUUGCUUUGAAAGGAGAAAGAAACUUUGAGGAAAGGAACAAAAGGGUGGAUAAUUGGGUGAUAGUCCUACUGACAAUAAUUGUCAUGAGCCAGCAAUUGCUGAUUCUGCCUAAAUGAAGUAGCUGGUUGUGAGGCCUUCAAACGCUGGUGUGUCUUCUCAAGGUUGUGUAUAUCAUAAUUGGUCUAAAGUGAAUUUCUUUGUUUGUUUGUUUGUUUUUUUCUGGUCUAAGGGAAAAUAUCUGUCUUGCAUGUUUGAGCUCCCAAGGUAUUUUCAAGCCUAAACUGCCCAGCCUUUUGGCUUGCGUAUGACUGAUUUAUAUCUCCUCUUUCUAGUCUGCAUCAACAUAAGUUCUCGUAAAAGUCCCAUCGAUGACAAAAACAACUUCAACACCAAAACGAAAACAAAAUUUAAAGGUUUAAGUUUUUUACCGAUAUCUAACCCGUACGGACCAAUUCUCCGGACUUUACUAUUCCGGGGUCUAAACGACCCAGAGGAUCCAUGGGUGCCGUCGUAUCCCGUACGAGUGACCCGUAACCGAAAUAAAUACAUAAAAAAAAAUAACUCCAUUUUAAUUGGUAGAACUUCACAUGUUCAGUCACCGUAACUCAUGAAAGUGUUGUAACAUGUUGACAGUGGAGACCAAGGUUUUGUAGAAGUAGUAGGGGAUUUCUCUGGGGGUGAACAAAGGGUGAACGACAAGAGGGGUCGGGGACCGUCGGUGAUUAGACGAGAGACGGAGGCAUUUGAAUUCACAGGACCUACUAAGUGUCUUCACCUUAGUGUGGAAUACACUGGAAAGUACAGACCGAAGAAAGUGAAGCGUAUUACAAAAACAGAUACGACGUCGGAUAUAGUCUGGAGGUAAAGAAAGAUUCCGACUUAGGAUGAGAGAGGACAUACAUAUGUGGUGUAAAACAAAUAGGUAAAUAGACAAUUACCUGUAAACACAAUAAAAAUGAAAUCCCGACAAUGUUUGUCACGAUGAUAUUCGUAAGUUUAUGUACACAAACAAACGUAUGGACAAAAAUCAAACGCCCCCCCCCCCACCAUAUAUGAAUCCUUAUUUUAAUGGGUCAACACACCAAGAAGACACAAUUGGAACACUCCUUAGUCGUAACCAAAAUUACUAAAUCGAGGGUCCGACGACAAUCCUGGUACUCUCCCUAAAACGAUCUUAGUACUUUACGUCCACCAUCUUUUUCGGGAAGUAGAAGAGUAAGUAAAGUCCUUCGGACAGACAUUGUUUUGAAUUCUCUUCGGGAAGGUAGGAGAUGGACAUGUUAAGGGUACACCUCCUUAGGGGUGGAGGGUUCCUGUCGGUAAGUAAGGUAACUACCCGUCGGGAUGGACUACCGAACGAGACAAAGACGGGAUAAGGAGAUGGACCUUAGGUAUCUGAGAGUCUACUCGAAGUCACACCUCUCCACCACUUUCUUGUCCAUUAAUAAUAAUAAUAAUAAUAAUAAUAAUAAUAAUAAUAAUAAUAAUAAUAAAACCACCCGAGGGUUCCUAACUUGGGUCCCCAUGAAUUAGUGACUCGGUGCAGGGGUCGGACAAAAUAUAAAAUAAAACUCAGUCUCAGAGCGAUUCAACGAGUCCCGGAACGAUUCAACGACUCCGACCGAAACUUGAACACUAGGAAGACGGAAUCGGAGGGUUCGGAGAUCUAAUGUCCGUACACGACCGUGAUAAAUUCCUCAAGGAUUUAGCACAAGACCUCAUUAGGUUACUACAGUAGAAAGAGAAGAUGGGGACUCAGAAGUUUCUAAAAGACCUUCUGGUAACGAACUAACUGUGGACGGGAGACGAACGGAGACUGUAUGUCUACGUUUCUGGUCCUUUCCCAUUGUAAAAGGGUUUACGGAUGGAUUCUCUCGUCUCCACCCCGACCUUCCGACACUCCCUCCUCCACCCUCCGUUUUAUUUGUUGUUCAACAAAAAACAUGGCAAGCCCCUCACAGGGGCCCCAUUGUCCAUGACCUUGGCAGACUGUGGUUCACUGCAGAUAGUGGGAGAAUUUGCUAUCUAGAAAUUGUUUCAUCUGGAGGGAAGGCCAUUUUUGAGAAAGCUGAGGAAGUCCUUGAAAGUUGCACAAUUUAUGAUGUUGAUAGGGUACGAAAAUAUUCGGAGCAACUCUUUUUUAAAGUAAGUCAUUUAUUGAAGUAUAAUAGACAUACAGAAAAGCAUCUAUCACAAAAUAGAGCCUAUUGUAUAGUUCUGUUUAUAUAAAAUUCAACAAAAGGCAGGAUAUUGGCUACUUUUAGAUAGUACACACCUAGAAGGGAUCUCGCCGGCUACCCUGCAGGUGCUGGUCAUGUUCUGAUCCUUGAUCGGGAGCCACUCUUUGUGACUUAAAAGAGUUUCAAAUAUUAUUUGGUAUACAUCAAACUGAGGAAGGAGAAAUGCUGGGGGUUAAGUUGAAUACCCUAAGCCUUGUGUUUGGGGUGUCUUUGGUUUCUGUCUCCCUGGCAUCUUCUCCCCCUUCUUUGGCUAUAGAGCACAUCCCUCCUCACUCUUGGAGCAUGUUCUGUGUGGGGUCUGAUGUACCCUCUACUCCCAGAGCAGGCACGUGUCAGGGACUGGUUAAGCAAUAGGCACGUGACUCAAGUCAGACAAGGCCUCUAACCUGAGAUUUUUCCUAGAACCACUGGGGAAAAGGCACUGGAUCUCAGCUGGGAUAUCUAAGUUGUUAGGACAGGAGUUUGGGGCUAUUGGUGGGUGUUUUUGCUACUGUGUGGGUCAAAUGGGAAUGACACCAGCACCGCAAGAUUCCUGGUGGGGAAUACAUGGACCCCACUGUUCUGAGAGCUACCUCCAGUCCUGUGAUGCAGGAAAAACAAAUGAACUAUUUUCUCCUGCUAUGUUCUCAUUCAGCAGAACAAUGGAACACUUCAGUGACCAAGUGUAAGUUUCUUAAUAUGAAUGACAUCAACUGAGUGCCCUACAUUUCAAUUCUGUUAGCAUCAGGCCCCACAGUUGGAGCACUUGGUCUCACAGAACUACUUCAGAUGCCUUCACCAGCCUCAGGUUCUUACCAGUACUUCUGACUCUCUGUCUAUAAGUCUGGGGUCCCCAUGACUUCCUGUUUAGAUUCAUAAUUUGCCAGGAUGGCUCACAGAACUCAGGGAAAUAUUUGCUUCUGUUUACCAGUUUAUUUUAUUAUGAAAGAUAUGAUAAAGGAUACAGAUGAACAGCAAGAUAAAGAGAUGGGUAGGAUAAGAUGGGCAUACCUUCCUGGGGUGCACCCCCUCUUAGAACUUCCACAUUUGAAGCAAUGCAGAAGUUCUUCAAACCCUGUCCUUUGGGGGUUUUAGGGAGGUUUCAUUGUAUAGGAAUGAUUGAAUAAAUCAUUGGCCACUUGUGAUCAACUCAACCCUCAGCCCCUCUCCCUUCCCCAGAGAUUGGUUCUCAGAGCCAUCCCUCCCGCCAUGGCCACCCAGGAUCCAGGCAUCUCCUUAGUCUGCAAAAAGACCUGACUGUGAAAACUCAAGGGUUUUGUGGAGCUGUGUGCCAGGAAACAGGGAAAACAGCAAAAAUAUAUUUCUUCUAACAAAUCCCACUAUCACUAUUCCUCCUGGGCCUCUCCGUUCACACGCAUGAGUAAAUCCCCUUUUCUGCUCUGCUCUUCAGGUCGGGUUUCUAUCCGUUGCCUCCAAGGGCUCUGAGUGAUUAAAAUAGGUCAGCUGGACCUGUUUGGCCAGGUCAGUUGGAACCAUCAGAUAUAUUUAGAUGUAGCUCUCAGUCUCUCUGUGAGCACUGGUGGAAGGGCAUGGAGACAGCUCCAAAGUAGGAGGAGGGCUGGGAAAGGGUGGGGGGCUGUCAAAGUGGCCACUGGACUGGAGGGAUGGGCUGAGGGACUAGUUCUGAACUUGUCCUGGCAUAGCUCAAGCACUGUUUUUGCCUAGUGUCCUCAUUUGGGAAGGCAUGAUAGGGACAUUUAGUGCUCUCACUUUCCUCCCUUCUCCUGGUACAUAGAUAGAUCUUGAUGCUUUUUUAAGUCCAGUACUUCUGACUCGCCGAAGUACAAGCAAUAAGAGCAUAUAGCUUGAUGGAGGCUUACCAGCCUGCUGGAAAUAACCAGGAAGAGCCCAGUAAUGACCUUCCAUUACCCAUUUAAUAUAAACUCUGUGUUUUAAAAAAAAAAAAAAAUCCCAAGUUGUAAAGCACACAAAGUUGCUCCAAAGUGGCAGUUUCAGGAAAGAAAUUGUUAAGGUGCUCCAUUCUGGUGAGUGGAAUGUACUAAAUCAAAUCAUCGAAAACGGAGAUGUUGAUAGGAUCUUGUGUUUUGCUAUUUGGGUCGUUAGUUAUUUACUAGAUAGAAAAUACUCUUCAACAAAACAUUUAGUGAUUUUUGAUAAGUUUGUAAGUCAAAACAAGAUAAUAUCAUUAAAAUAAUCAAUAGACUUCCUUGCUUUUGGCUUAUCUUUCUAUUGUUGCUCAUCUUCUGCCUGAAAGUCCGUGGAGGGCUGGUGGGUGCCACAUUAAGGUAAGAGAAGCUGUUCAGGAGAUGCCUGGGACUCAACCUCACUUGAUGCAAGAUUUUUGCACUGAAUCCCACAAGUCUACUGCAGCCUUACAACCUUGUUUCAUUUUACUGUUUAACCUUCUUGGAUUCAUCAACUCACCUUGAAGUGAACAACUGCAAAGAGACUUGUACAAGAUUUACAGGGGAAAAUAUUUUAGAUCUCAAAAUUGCUUUAAGGAUAGCACCACAUACAAUCACAUGAUUGAAAAGAAGUUUAGGGAUGACCUCUAAUUCUGUCAUCUUAUUUUAUCACAAAGGGGAAAUUAUAAAAUUUGGCAGAAUAAGACUAGACCUAGGUCUAUGGUGCUAAGCCAAUGGUAUGGUCACCUUCACCUUAGGGCUAGGAUGGACUGACCUAUUUCAUGGAACUUCAGGGCAGCCUUCCUUAUUGGAAUAGAGGAAAAUAGGGUCCAGAGAAUCCUGCAGCUGUAAGUUCACAGUAAGGUAUGCCCUUUGUAUGGCACAUAUCCUCUGAAAGAUGCUAAAUGGGACCUGGAAUAACCACAGGUCAUUCAAUAAUAUCAUUUUUAGCUACUGUUAUAAAUUCCUCCUCCCCUUCUGUGACUUAUAGGAAAGGCUAAAAUAAUGCAGAUGCAUCUCUUUAGAUUUCAUCUCGUUUUUUUUUUCUCUUCCUCUUGGGGGGGGGGGGUUAGAAAGCAGUGGUAUCCAGAAGGGAAGUGUGUUGAUAAUUUAUAGCUGGAUAAAUCUGCUUUUGAACUAUACCAUGACCAUGCAAAUUAAAAUUAGCAUUUGCUCUUUUUAGACCAGGUGUUCUGAUCACUGUUUUAUAUAGAUCAUUUCAUUUAAUUCUCUCAAAACCCAUGAGAGGCAGACAUUGGUUGAGGCCCCACUUUUUCUGAUGAGAAAACCGAGGCUCAGAGCCACCAGGUCUACUAAGUACAAUCUUCAAUCACCAUGGAAGACAGCAGUCUUGAAGAUCAGCCACAAAAAUCACAUUUUUUAGAAUGUUGCCAAGAUUUCAAGGUAUGAAAUCCAUGAUGCAUUUAGAUCAUGGGAAUGUGUCCUAGAACCAUUUUGUUCCAGAGAGCUCAGAAAAGGAUAGUCCUCCUCUCCACAGAUGGGGUCCUCAGCUUUAACCUCAAACUUUCUCACGUCUGCAGGGUCUGAUAACAGAAAUUUUUUACCUGCAGUAAGUAAACACCUUGACGAUCCUUGCAGGGGCAUUUGGGCAGAGGUGUGUCCUUGUUCAGUUGAGGUUUUUGCUUUGUUUCAGGGGAGGGAGUGCUGGAUUUAUCAGUGCAGAAGAUGCAGGGGCUCCAGGAGGCUUCUGAAGCUGCAGGCGGAUUCCUGGGGAGAGGGUGACACUGACGUGCCAGUUCUCCUUACAGUCUGGUUCUGCACUUUCUAAAAAUACUCGUGACAAACAGCUAAUGGGCAUUUUGGCCACACAGCUCUAAACCGCUGCUGCCAUUUCAAAUGGAAUGCUUCUCCUUCAGGCCCGUUCGCCUUGAUUUAUAUGACUGGGAUAAGCUCAGCCAUUUCACAGAACUUCACAACAGCCCACUCACCAGAGGCUCUUUAAAAACAAGAAAGUGCAUUUCUGCCUCUCUUAGCAAGUGUUGCAUGUUUAUUUGUUCAUCAAAAAUGAAAUGAAAGCUUCUUUGGGAAGGACACAUCUGCAGCCAUUGCUUAAGUGUUGUUUAGUGACACAAAGGGAGAGAACCCCAUCCCUUCAGAAGAGCUGUUGGCUCUGAAGUUAAAGGAGAAUAAGGGACAAAUGUUUUUUAAAAUUAUGCAAUUUUAGUGUGAAAUGCUGCAACCUUUUUGGAAACGUGUUUGUAGUAUGUACCAAGGAACACCUACUAGUCACCUACUAAUUCAAUUUCUAUAAAUACAUGUUUAAGAACCAAUCCGAGGGCUGGGGAUAUAGCUCAGUUGGUAGAGUGCUUGCCUUGCAUGCACAAGGCCCUGGGUUCAAUACCCAGCACCAAAAAAAAAAAAAAAUCAAUCCAAAAUAAAGACAGUUUUAUAUUCAUUGAGUUAUCAUUUAUGAUUAUAAAAAAUGAAUCAUAACCUAAAUUCCCAGCAACAGACAAUUAAUAAAUACGGUGGUCUGUUUGUCAUAGCAUUAUAAAGUUAUUAAGAUGUUAGACUUUGAAGAAUUAUAAUGAUGUAAUAAAAUGCUUAAGAUAAAAGAAGUGAAAAUACAAGCUUAAAUAUUGCAUACAUAAAAUGAUCUUAAUUGAGCAUAAAAUACUACACACAUACUCAUACACACUUCAGAAAAAGAUUAAAGAAAUCUAAAAUUAUGGUCAUCUCUGGUUGGUGAGAUUAUGGGCAACUUUAUUUUCCUUAUGUAUUUCUCUAUUUUGCACAGUUUUUUUUUUCCUUUUGGAAAUGGAAAUUGAUUUAUUUAGUUAGGAGGAUUCCCUCCUCCUCUUCUCCUUCCCCCUAUCUACCCAGGCCACCCUGUGUUUGUGUGUGUGUGGGUAUGAGAGAGAGAGAGAGAGAGAGAGAGAGAAAGAGAGAAAGAGACAGAGAGAGACUGAGAAUUGAACCCAGAGGCCCUCUUCCACGAAGCUCCAUCCACAGCCCUUAUUAUUUUAUUUUGAGAUAGUGUCUCUUUAAGUUGCCCCGGCUGACCUUGAACUUGUGAUCUUCCUGCCUCAGCCUCCUGAGUCACUGGGAUUACAGGUCUGUGCCACUACACCAGCUCUCCACCCCCACCCCCUUCCAGAAAAAAAGCUCCUCUCAGAAUUUUCAUAAGGUUCUUGUACAUGGGCACCAAUAGCUCCAUAGUGAAUUUGAAUCCAGAGCCGGAAAGGUCUAACUGAACAGGUGUGAGCUUUGGUUUGUCGUGGUAAACAAGGGCUUGGCCCACAAUAAAAAAGACAUGGAGUCAGAGAAUCCAGCAUCCACCCAACCUUCCCUCUCUUACUGCCUGGGAGCUUUGGGGAAACCACUGGGCAGUCCAAGUCCCACUCAUUGCUGAGUCUCUCAGGAAAAGAACAGACCCACCAGGGCCAGUUCUUGGCAAACUCUUGACACACAGUGCAUUGCCUUUGCUUCCUUUAGGUGCUUGCUCUCCCCUUGGAGUGCUGCCCAACCUCAGUGCCAUUCUUGUGCUAUCUGCAACACUCUCUUGGGGAAGGUUGCUCUCGGAAGGAUCUGGUUCAUUCUUUCAGACACACAUUCAUUAAAUAUGAGGUGCAUCAAUCAGUGAAUGCUGAACCCAUGACCCUGCCUAGGGAGGGCUACUUUCUUCAGGAAAAAGAAGCAUCCUAUAGAUUAAAGGACAGCUUUCUCCAGCAAACUGCAAGGGGCAGGGCUCUGUCCAAUGUCUGGUGGGGCUCAGGUAGCCCAGCUUUGCUCCCAAGGGCUUGGAAUCGACUUUUUUUUUUCCUUAUAAGUAAGUGCAUUUGCGGAAAGUCAUUUAUUCUGAAAUCAUAGGUUCUGCGUCCAUACACCAGACCUCCUGAAGCUUCUUUCACGGGGGUGUUGUGAAAUGUGAAGUAACGCGAAUGAAAUGAUCCUUGGCGAAGCAUAAGGCAGAGGUUGCCCUUGGGAAGCACAUGGGCUAAGCUUGUGGCAGAUGGUUCUGUUGGGUUUGAAGUGUGGUUCCUUUUUAUAUUUUGACUGAAUUUAUUGUCAAUAUUUGAAAAUCAAGGAAUUUCACAGUUAAAAGGGUUUUUUUUUUUUUUUUUUUUUUAGGGAUUUUUAAAAAAUGUGCCUGCCUUCUUGUGUUACGACCUGGCACUGGUUUGCUGGAGCCCAGUAAUUGCUGUUUACUAUCAAGGGAGUUGGGCCUCUGCGCUGCUGUGCCCCCUGCACUCAGGUCUGUCCCAGGAGGAAAUGGUAAAGGGCUGGGGCUGAGGAGUCCCUGCUGUACCACUUCCUGGUUAUGUGACUUUUGCCAACACACUGAACUUUAAAGCCUUAACUUGCCUGGGACUCUCUUUCUUCACCUGUCCAAUGGGAUAAUAUUGUCUCUCCUUAGAGGAUUGUGGCAAGGACUAAGUAAAGCAUAUAUGUGAUAUGAGCAGGGCCUGCCACAGAGGCUGUUGAUCAGAGUUACCCACUUGGUCUCUGAAGGCGUCUGCAAGAGGUGAGUCAAAAGACAGCCAUUGUUUCUAUUAUCUCUCUAU